ACACAUGAUGCGCUUCAUGCAAGAUGCAGCGCACAUACUUGUAUGCUAAUACUCUUUGUUGGAUGGAUCGUUCAGCUUGGCGGGUGACAAUGGUUUCGACCCGCUGGCGCUGGCGGAGGACCCGGAGGACCUGCGGUGGUUCGUGCAGGCGGAGCUGGUGAACGGGCGGUGGGCGAUGCUGGGGGUGGCGGGGAUGCUGAUCCCGGAGGUGCUGACCAAGGCGGGGCUCCUGAACGCGCCCGAGUGGUACGACGCCGGCAAGGAGACCUACUUCGCCUCCUCCUCCACGCUGUUCGUCAUCGAGUUCAUCCUCUUCCACUACGUCGAGAUCCGGCGGUGGCAGGACAUCAAGAACCCGGGCUCCGUCAACCAGGACCCCAUCUUCAAGAGCUACAGCCUCCCGCCCCACGAGUGCGGCUACCCCGGCAGCGUCUUCAACCCCCUCAACUUCGCCCCCACCCUCGAGAACAAGGAGAAGGAGCUCGCCAACGGUACCUCCAUAGUCUCUCUUCUUCUUCUUCUUUUUUCAAAUAUCCAGCUAGAUGGCUGGCUUCUAUUUCAUGAUCCAUCGUCUCUUCUGGACCCUCGGUUCCUAAUCGGACGGCUCUUGUUAAUUUUUGGAUUUUUUUUUCAUUCAUUCAUUCAGGUAGACUGGCGAUGCUGGCGUUCCUGGGGUUCCUGGUGCAGCACAACGUGACCGGCAAGGGCCCGUUCGAGAACCUGCAGCAGCACCUGGCCGACCCAUGGCACACCACCAUCAUCCAGACCAUCUCCGGCCAGUAAAUCCGUCGAUUUCACCGACCGGGGAGGUUUCAGGUGGUCUGAAUUGUUAUUUUGGGGUACUGAGGAUGUACAAAGUGUGGAGGAGUAGGUGGACAGUGCAAAAAUGUGUUGUAAUCUUAAAGCUCCGGUGGUGAAACUUUCUUCUUGUGGAUUCGCCCAUGGCUUCCGAUGGAGGCUGUACUUGUAAUAUCACCCAUGCGUGUUAUUCUAAACAUGGCAAAACAUACUACUAGUUUGAAGCAUUAGUCUCGAAUUAACUGUGAUAUCACCCGUGUUAUUUUAAACAAGGCAAAAUAUAGUUUGAAGCACUAGUCCUGAAUUCGAUGUGAUGAUACCAAUAGUAAAUCAAAGCAGAACUUCAUACAACACCGGGCUCGCAGAUGUAGAACAGCAGAAUCAAAGAAGAAGAAAAAGGAACCAGUAUAUGAAGUCACAGAUACACAACAUCAGUCCCAAAACUACAAUUUCGUUGUAUGGAAUGUGCAACAGCACAAGAUUAGAGUCCUUCAAGGCUCAACGUACAGUGCGUAAAAAUUGGUUAAGAAUUAAGAUCCUAUUGGAAGAGGCGGCCAACUGAUUCAACAAAAUUCAGAACUAAUAUAUGUAUAUCCACAUGAGUUUAUCCUAAUUAGCAACAACGAGUAACUCAGCAGAAAACUCGGCAAUCUACCCUUGGCACAUACAAUCUGGGGCAGGAUAAGUAUAGAUAGAUUGCUUCGGCUUCCUCAGCCGGAUCUGCCCGUAUCUACCUUUGUGGCCUGCCUGUACAGCCUGCUGAAACUCUGACCACUCCAUGCUCUUGUUCACAAAUAUGUGGCCAAGCAAUGUCAUGUUCGGCCUUAUCGUCUUCAAAUUCCUGUAGGCCCGGUGGGCCAGCUAAAUCAACCAUAAUCUAGUUAGGACCAAUAAAGAAAGAGGAGAAAUCUCGCGAAUACAGCAGAGGCCAACAGGAUUUACCAGUGCAUUAUGCAUAUUGCCAGGAGAAGCAGAGAUGAAAACAUCGCUGUGCAUGCUGAUAUGGUAGUCAAGAGCUGCUAGCACAGAAGCCUUCCCUUCAACAUUAGCAAGUUCAUCUGCCGAUGCAAGGCUCCUCUUGUCUUCCAUCAGCGGGAAAAGUUUGCGCAAGCUAGAGAUCCUAGCUUCCCCUCCAUAUACCUUAAUAGGUGAUGUAUGUUAGACCUUUCUACUUCCACUAAGGAGAAUAAGCGAGCGCAGGGAGUCAAACCUUGUGAGAGGCAAGAUAAAAUCGAGUUGUGCUGUCAAAGCCAAGCGCUACUAGUAUCAACCCAAUCUCUUCUGGAGUCAACGGGCAGCGUCCUGUGUUGCGAAGCUCCUCAUCACUUAACUGUGAAUUUAAUACCCUCCCUUGCCAGAUAACUUGCCUGUACUUAGCCAGAGCUAAUUUUUCAGCUCUACCACCGCCAAAGUCACAGGCAGAAUGCGCAGCCAUAUCCUGAAAAUGGAGGUCAGCUUGAGAUGUUUCAGAGUGGCAAUUCCCCGAAGAGAACAAAAAAAAUAUAUACAUACGACUUCCAAAUAUUGCAGAAGCCCUUCCAUUUACCUUAUCGAAGCGGAGAUGUAAAACUGCGUAGUUUCCAUCCUGAUCUGUGUUUUCUUCUACAACUUGUUGGGCAAAUUCAGUGGAAUGCCCCUGGACUGGAGAUCUCAAGCGCUUCUCAAGGGUCCUCCCCAAUGAGGUAAUGUAAGGCACAAAAACCAGGGCUUCAAAGUUAACUUUACAGCGCAGGCGUUGAAUGUCCACAGGCAAAUCAUCAAAUGCAAGGCGGUGAGAAAAGGGGGCAAUGGCUGCAAUGCCAUAGCUGACAAGGGAAACAACACGUACAUGAGAUUCUUGGUGAAGUAUUCCCCUCACAAAGUAACCAACUAUUGAAGUUAGACCACAAAUUAUAAUGUUAAUGCUACAAAGCCUGUUCAGUGGCCAUCAACCUGGGCUAAACAUGAACUGCAGUUUCUUAGCAUUAUUAUGCCAUGCAAUAUAUGUCAAAUACCACCACUGUUCACAAAUACAAGAUGUUUUGAAUAUUUUAAUAUGGACUACAUACGGACUGAAAUGAGUAAACAAACACACUAAAACGUGUCAACAUACAUCCGAUUCAGAAAAAAGUUAGAACAUCUUAUAUUUGCAACAUGUGUCAGUACAAAGGGUACUGCAGAUCUUCACUUACUCAAGGGGUCUAGAGAAGUGACUAUAUGACCAAAGAAAUCACAAACCUUUGCAGGAUAGGACUGACAUUCUCUAUAUACCAAUUAGCUGAGGCAUGAACAGGUGCAGUUUUUAUUCUUGUAGCACGUAUUCCUGUGCCAUAGAACUCUCUUUUGCUCCACGAAUAUUCUUUUGGUGGACUUCUCACUAUUGAAACCUCGCCUUUUAGGGUGUUGAUAAAGUGAUCCACAUUGAAAAUAUCUCCGAAUGAGCUGCAGCACAACUAAAACUUUCACUUCCAAUUUAACAGGAGAAUAUAAAAACUAAAAAGAUACAGUAGUACUCUGAAACUUCAAAAGCACCUUGAGUCUUUCCAAACAGGGUUUACUUCAAGAUGUGGAAUCACAAGAGUAGCAUUCAGAAUCUUAGCAACCGCAACAGCAUCACAUAUCUAGAGAACAAAAAGAAAGAGCCAGAUGGUAUAAAAUCUCAACCAAGCAAGCUGUCUUAAAUCUAACAUCAUGAAUCUGGUACAUAAAAAGUGUGUUACCCCCAUUCUUUGCUGGUUCAGGCCACCAUCAAGAAAUACUUGUAUGUACCCACUAGGUUCCGAAGGUAACCCUACACUUUAUAUAACCAAAUGCUUAGUGAUCUGUCGCAGCAGGAGGCAUAUCAUUACAUAACCAUGUUAUCUCAGAGUGUUACCACGAGUAAUCGAUGACCUUAUGCAUGGUUUCCACCCCUGAUCAGGCAAGGGUGUCCAGAGAUCUCUCUUUUGUUCAUCUGGCUGUACAGAAAGCAAGUUAGACUUCAACAUAACUACUUCCAUUUUUCAUCUGAGUUCUGAAUACUCACUAUUGUCCAUCGCAAAGACUCAUUCAAAAGAGACUCGUGCAUUGGCUUAGGGGCAUUCCACUCCUGCAAUACAUAGUCAUACACAUUGUCCACAUGAUUAAUCUUAAAAAUAUAAUAUCGCAGUUUGCAGAAAUAUUUACUAAGGUCCACUUGAGUUGCCAAUCUAUCUUCAUAGCCAUAGUACUAAUCCAGUACAUAUGUUAUUCCCAAUACUGUCAUGGACUCAUGGUAGCUGAGUACAGUCCCACACUGCCACAAAAUGCAUAUAAAAUCUAGUAAUCAAAUAUUGUAGACCACUGUCCAAACCAAAAUAUUCUAUGCAACUGGCAUGAUGCUAUCCAUCAGAAGAAUCCAGAUCUUGCACACUUUGCUUAUUUACAGGUUGCACACUUUGCUUAUUUACAGGUACCUCCGCAUCGACAUACAUAUGCCAAAUAAACAAAUGUAAUUUCGCACUUCCAAUUCAACAGGACAGAGAGUCAUGAAUUCGCCACAUCAUUUCACCUUCCACAUACAUUCCUCCCCCAACAGUGCCAAUCCGUCUAGAUUAUAUCCAAUUUUCGCGCACCCAAGACAAUCGGACUCGGCAAAGUGGCAAACUAGCAAGAAGAAGCGUAGGAAGCAUCUAGAAAAGCAGAAGAUCGCCAAUAUGACGAUACACCGGCUCAAAUCGAAUCGACUGGAGGGGAGGACGGCGACUAUAGGGGACGCACCGAGAAUAGGGAAGGGAAGGCGCGGCCGAGCGGGGAGAACAGCGCGGGGAAAAUAGCCGGGAGGAGCACGACAGCGGCUGCGGCGGCCAACGCCGGGCCCCUCGCCGGAGGCGACGAAGCCGACGGCCUCCGCAUCUCACCCGUCUCAGGUGCGAAGACCAGGUGGAAGAGAAUCCUACAAGGCCACAGCAAUUGACUGACGUGACUGAGCCCGGCUACGAGGUGGAAGUGGGCCUACUGUGUUCAAAAUUGGCCCAUCCAUUUCGGCUCCUCCGUCCGACGGGAGGACUUCUGCCAGGAAAUUUGCAGUCGCCCCUCAAAAGAAAAGGAAAUUUGCAGUCAGAUCCGAUAUUCUAAAUAUCCACUAGUUAAUGUAAUUUUGCCUAAAAAAACUAGUUAAUAUAAUUACCCCUAAAAAACUAGUUAAUAUAAUUACCCCUAAAAAAACCAGUUAAUGUAAUUUCGCCACAACAAGAGGANNNNNNNNNNNNNNNNNNNNNNNNNNNNNNNNNNNNNNNNNNNNNNNNNNNNNNNNNNNNNNNNNNNNNNNNNNNNNNNNNNNNNNNNNNNNNNNNNNNNNNNNNNNNNNNNNNNNNNNNNNNNNNNNNNNNNNNNNNNNNNNNNNNNNNNNNNNNNNNNNNNNNNNNNNNNNNNNNNNNNNNNNNNNNNNNNNNNNNNNNNNNNNNNNNNNNNNNNNNNNNNNNNNNNNNNNNNNNNNNNNNNNNNNNNNNNNNNNACAACAAGAGGAAAAAAAGGAAGAGGGGGGGGGGGGAUAAAGAAUUCACCGCACCAUCUCACUCUCCACAUAACUUACUCCCCUACAAUACUAGUCCGUCUAAAAUAUAUCAAUUUUCACGCACCACAGAUGACUCGGCUCGGAAAAGUCACAAACUAGGCGCAGGAAGUAGCUAAAAAAGCCAAGUAGAUCGCACAUAUGACGCUACACCGGCUCAAAUCAAACCGUGUGGAGGAAAGGAUGUCAACUGUAGGGGACGCACCGAGAAUAGAGAAGGGAAGGCACGACCGAGAGGGGAGAACGGCACAGGGAAAAUAGUCGGGAGGAGCACCACAACCACUGCAGCAGCCAACGCUGGCCCCCUCGCCGCAUCUCCCUGUCUCAUUUUUUUAGGGGACCUCCUCGUCUCAGGUGAAAGUGAAUCCUACAAGGCCCCAACAAUUGUGACUUGGUGAGCCCGGCUACGAGGUGGAAAUGGGCCUAUGUUCAAUGGACUAUCGGGAAAUUUGCAAUCAUAUCACAUUUCUUAACAAAAUUUGCAACCCCUCAAAAAAAUUGCAACCUCUCAAUUUUUCUUUUGCAGAAUUUCUCAAAACAAAUUGCACUUGCUCAAUUUUUUUUGAAGUUACGCUAAAAAAAGUUCCGGGCUAAUCUAAACAAAAUCAUGACAUGGUAAAGAAAUCUUGUAUCAACACUAUCACAAGAACCCCUCACAACAUGUCUUUUAAGGACCACAACAUGUUUAGUAACAAUUGAAAUGGGAGUUUGCAGAAGGAAGUUUGUGAAGGGAUUAAGUAUGUAAAGUAAGCAGAUUUUUAUUUCUAUAAACCGUUGUUUGGUACUCCCUCCGUAAACUAAUGUAAGAGCAUUUAGAUCACUAUUUUAAUGAUCUAAACGCUCUUAUAUUAGUUUACAGAGGAAGUAGUAUAUGAUGUGAAUUAAGGAUAGUGUAACGGCCUGGGAUAGUACUACCCGAAGUAGAAUUACUUGUUUUUUUCUUGCCUCGUGUCAUCAUGUCCUCAGGCUUCAAUUUUGAAAUGAUGUUCGAUUAAACCCUCAGUAGUAUUGAAAAUGUCAACCUAUAACUAACUUCAAUAUUUAACAAAAUGGCUAGAUUUCUUGAAACCCUAAAUAUAGCCUUCAACUUAUAUUAGAAAGCACCCAAUUGAAAUUUUUCGAUAAAAGGUGGAUUUUAUUGACCCAAAAUGAAGCAUCAAGUGGAUACAAACGUAAUGAGCACACACCCGUCUUUUGCACAGUUAGGAUGCACACAAUCAAAUCAACGCACAUACACAAAAAAGCGUCGGCAAAUAGCAAAUUCAUAUAAGUCCAAAGCUAUUCUUAAGCAAGAGAAAAAGUCAAAAACCUGAAGCGAUCAAAUCCGUGAUCGACAAACUACAACAAUGAUCACAUCCGCACCAACCAUCUGAUGGCACCACGAGGAAAAUGAGGUUCUUCAACAACAACGCCUUCAGAAAGGAAGCGACACUCGAACGCCGCCGUCACCUGAUCCAACCACCAAAGGCCAGAACCUACGAUAUAAAUUUUUGGAAUAAUUUAUCGCAACUUUUUGUUCAAUCCAUGUUAUUGAUUUAUUUCCAUAUAAGAUAUAAAUGAAUACAAGAAAUAUCUUUUUGCGGUUUUGAUUUAGGCCAGCAAGGCUACACCUAAAAUUUCAUCAAGUUUGGAGCUCAUUUAGGCCCUCAAAUAUUUUACAAUGAUGGCAAUCAAUUUUUGCAUAGUGCUAAAUUAAUAAAACAUUCACUGUUUCACAGGGGCGGCCCAUUUGGGUCUUCCUUAACUAUAUAUCGCCACAGAGCCCAUACCUCGACCCAUUCCCAUACCUCGCCCCAUUCCUCGUGGCCUACUUAGCGCCCAUUAGGCGGCUUUUUACUAAGCCCCGCCCACCUAAGCCCAGGUAGCCAAGUGAAAAAUCCCCAUGUGCAGAGAGUAUUGUAGCACUUUCUAAAGUAGGGGUGGUAAGUAUGGAGUGUCAAACCCAAAAGGAGCUAAAGAUAAGAUACCUAUUCUGUCAGGUUUUAUCUGACACUGAUAUAACCCUACGUACACCAAACGUUGCUUCAACUAGACCUUUUAGUAAAAGAUAAUUUCAAGUUUUGGAGAAAGUGAGUGGAGUAGCGGCGGUAGGUGUUGUGAAUUCAUCCCAAGAAAAUUAACUAUAAUACUAGAUUCAUAAUCAUGCUUUGUAUUUUUAUAUGUGGGAGGCCUAUGCUAACAUGCCACAAAAUCCAUUGAUCGCGUAUACUCAUGAUCGAAACCCCCAGCAAGCAUCCACAACUACUAAUAGUUUAUUAAGGUCAAACUCAACCAUAACAUUAAGAGCUAAAUGUCCUCUAUAUCCUAUAUGCAACCCUUAACAAACUCGCAACAUGGUAAUACUUGUCACUCCGACAAUCCAUCCUAAGAAAAUUUGUGACAUAUUUGCAAACUCUAAAGUGUGAUCCAACAUAGGUGCGCGCUCAUAUGUUCAGCACUAAAGGACAUCACUAUGCAAGUCCUAUCAAUCAUAAUAGAUCAGCAAUCACCAUAGGACAAAAGGGAUCUACUCAGACAUGAUAGCAAUGCAACGAAUCUUUAGAUAAAAAUUCCUAGCAUCAGACACCAUGUUCAAGUAGAGGAUUACAUAGGUUUAUGGGUAUGUGGACCACUACAGAGAGUGUGGAUAUGGCGAUGGAGAUGGUGGUGAAGUUGAUGGACACGAUGGAUACAAUGGUGGUGAUGAUGGUUCCCUGGCGACGCUCCGACACCGCGGGAAGAGAGGGGAAGAGGGAGUGAAAGAACAUGCGGUGCCCCCAUGUUUGGUUUUGGUAAUUGAUGACAAUCUCUAUGGACUAAUGGUUGCCUUGAGUUAUAUUUGAAGGAUUUGUCCAUAGGCAUUUCUUGAAGUUCAUGUGUUGGUUUCAAGGAGUUUAUGUGGUGACCAAGGUGUUAUUAAGGAAUUAUCCAAAGAUUGGUCAUGUGAGAGUUGAGCUUAUUUGCAAGCAUGUCUUGGAGAAGAAGAUUGUGUGAUCAUUCAUGUAUAUCUUCAAGACAUCAUCCAAAUGAAGAGAGUUGAAAAGAUUCAUGGUUGAUCAAGACUAAGUCAAGAGUGAAUCAACUUGAUCAACUCACAAAGCGUAGAAGAUGUACCGAGAGGGAUCAAGCGAUCCCAUGGUGUGGUAAACAUUGUCAAUUACGCUUUGUGUACUAACCCAUGAUCUUCGUGAGAGUUCUUUGUGGGGUUAGGUUGCGGUGUGCAAGUUCAAGUGAAGCAUCAUGAAGAGAUCAAAUGCUUGAAGCUUGCCGUCCAUUGUGGUGACAAUGGACUUGUGAAGAUGUUGCGGUGUGCAAGUUCAAGUGAAGCAUCAUGAAGAGAUCAAAUGCUUGAAGCUUGCCGUCCAUUGUGGUGACAAUGGACUUGUGAAGAUGUGCGGAAGAGUGGCUCACCCAUAGUGGAGCAUGGGGGAGAAAUCAACUAGUCUUCAUCGAGCCAACGCAACCAAGAAAGGUGGUCCAACUUGAGGGAGUCAAGAUCGUCAUCAUCUAGCUCAAGUGGACCAUGUGCAAGGCAAAGGUUUGCUCUUGAUAGGUUUUCUAUUUUACCGGUCUCAUGAUGGUAGUUGGGAGACCGGGUUAUAGGAUCGAUUGUCGUACUAUCAAGGGGGGCUCUCGAUGAGUAGCUUGAUCGUAUCGUUCAUAGAGAGCUCAAACCAUUGCGUCCUUGCAUCAUCUUUAUUGGUUCUUGUUUGGUUCUUCUCUUUGUGAGUUUUGGAGCUUAUGGUCAUCUUGAUGACAAGCUCGAGUUCAUCGAAAACGGAGUUCACUCGCAUCUUCUAUGAUGUUUUCGAUGUUGGAGGUUAUGCCGGUUCUUCUCGGUUGGAGGUUUCACUCCUCUAUUUGUUGGCAUACCUCCCCUUGUUGGUAAUCGUAGCAUAAUUUUAAAAUUUUCCUACACUCACCAAGAUGCAUCUAUGGAGUAUACUAGCAACGAGGGGAAGGGAGUGCAUCUACAUACCCUUGUAGAUCGCGAGCGGAAGCGUUCCAAUGAACGUGGAUUACGGAGUCGUACUCGCCGUGAUCCAAAUCACCGAUGACCGAGUGCCGAACGGACGGCACCUCCGCGUUCAACACACGUACGGUGCAGCGACGUCUCCUCCUUCUUGAUCCAGCAAGGGGGAAGGAGAGGUUGAUGGAGAUCCAGCAGCACGACGGCGUGGUGGUGGAUGUAGCGGGUCUCCGGCAGGGCUUCGCCAAGCUUCUGCGAGAGAGAGAGAGGUGUUGCAGGGGAGGAGGGAGGCGCCCAAGGCUGUAGCUUGCUGCCCUCCCUCCCCCCCUUUAUAUAGGCCCCCUUGGGAGGGGGGCGGCCAAAACCCAUCUAGGGUUGGGGGGCGGCGGCCAAGGGGUGGAAGGGGUUGCCUUGCCCCCCAAGGCAAGGGGGAAGUCCCCCCACCCUAGGGUUCCCAACCCUAGGCGCAUGGGGGGAGGCCCAUGGGGGGGCGCCCAGCCCACUAGGGGCUGGUUCCCUUCCACUUUCAGCCCAUGGGGCCCUCCGGGAUAGGUGGCCCCACCCGGUGGACCCCCGGGACCCUUCUGGUGGUCCCGCUACAAUACCGGUAACCCCCGAAACUUUUCCGGUGGCCGAAACUGGACUUCCUAUAUAUAAUUCUUCACCUCCGGACCAUUACGGAACCUCUCGUGACGUCCGGGAUCUCAUUCGGGACUCCGAACAACUUUCGGGUUUCCGCAUACAUAUAUCUCUACAACCCUAGCGUCACCGAACCUUAAGUGUGUAGACCCUACGGGUUCGGGAGACAUGCAGACAUGACCGAGACGCCUCUCCGGUCAAUAACCAACAGCGGGAUCUGGAUACCCAUGUUGGCUCCCACAUGCUCCACGAUGAUCUCAUCGGAUGAACCACGGUGUCGAGGAUUCAAUCAAUCCCGUAUGCAAUUCCCUUUGUCAAUCGGUAUGUUACUUGCCCGAGAUUCGAUCGUCGGUAUCCCAAUACCUUGUUCAAUCUCGUUACCGGCAAGUCUCUUUACUCGUACCGCAAUGCAUGAUCCCGUGACUAACGCCUUAGUCACAUUGAGCUCAUUAUGAUGAUGCAUUACCGAGUGGGCUCAGAGAUACCUCUCCGUCACACGGAGUGACAAAUCCCAGUCUCGAUCCGUGCCAACCCAACAGACACUUUCGGAGAUACCCGUAGUGCACCUUUAUAGUCACCCAGUUACGUUGUGACGUUUGGCACACCCAAAGCACUCCUACGGUAUCCGGGAGUUGCAUGAUCUCAUGGUCUAAGGAAAAGAUACUUGACAUUGGAAAAGCUCUAGCAAACGAAACUACACGAUUUUUUAUGCUAUGCUUAGGAUUGGGUCUUGUCCAUCACAUCAUUCUCCUAAUGAUGUGAUCCCGUUAUCAAUGACAUCCAAUGUCCAUAGUCAGGAAACCAUGAUUAUCUGUUGAUCAACGAGCUAGUCAACUAGAGGCUUACUAGGGACACGUUGUGGUCUAUGUAUUCACACAUGUAUUACGAUUUCCGGACAAUAUAAUUAUAGCAUGAACAAUAGACGAUUAUCAUGAACAAAGAAAUAUAAUAAUAACCAUUUAUUAUUGCCUCUAGGGCAUAUUUCCAACAGUCUCCCACUUGCACUAGAGUCAAUAAUCUAGUUCACAUCACCAUGUGAUUAACACUCACUGGUCACAUCACCAUGUGACCAACAUCUAAAGAGUUUACUAGAGUCAACAAUCUAGUUCACAUCACUAUGUGAUUAACACUCAAUGUGUUCUGGUUUGAUCAUGUUAUGCUUGUGAGAGAGGUUAUUAGUCAACGGGUCUGAACCUUUCAGAACCGUGUGCUUUACGAAUAUCUAUGUCAUCUUGUGGAUGCUACCACGCGCUAUUUGGAGCCAUUUCAAAUAAUUGCUCUACUAUACGAAUCCGGUUUACUACUCAGAGUCAUCCGGAUUAGUGUCAAAGUUCGCAUCGACGUAACCCUUUACGACGAACUCCUUUCCACCUCCAUAAUCGAGAAAAUUCCUUAAUCCACCAGGUACUAAGGAUAAGUUCGACCGUUGUCAUGAGAUCCUUUCCCGGAUCACUAUUGUACCCUCUUGACCAACUCAUGGCAAGGCACACUACAUGUGCGGUACACAGCAUAGCAUACUAUAGAGCCUACGUCUAAAGCAUAGGGGACGACGUUCGUCCUUUCUCUAUCUUCUGCUGUGGUCAGGUCUUGAGUCUUACUCAAUACUCACACCUUGUAACACAGCCAAGAACUCCUUCUUUGCUGAUCUAUUUUGAACUCUUUCAAAAUCAUGUCAAGGUGUGCUGUCUUUUGAAAGUAUCAUCAGGCGUCUUGAUCUAUCUCUAUGGAUCUUGAUGCCCAAUAUGUAAGCAGCUUUAUCCAGGUCUUCCUUUGAAAAACUCCUUUCAAACAACCCUUUAUGCUUUCCAGAAAUUUUACAUCAUUUCGGAUCAACAAUAUGUCAUUCACAUAUACUUAUCAUAAAUGUUGUAGCGCUCCCACUCACUUUAUUGUAAAUACAAGUUUCUAACAAACUUUGUAUAAACCCAAAAACUUUGAUCACUCCAUCAAAGCGUAUAUUCUGACUCCGAGAUGCUUGCUCUAAUCCAUGGAAGGAUCGCUGGAGCUAGCAUACCUUUUAGCAUCCUUAGGAUCGACAAAACCUUUCUGAUUGUAUCACAUACAACCUUUCCUUACGAAAACUGGUAAGGAAACUUGUUUUGACAUCCAUCUGCCAGAUUUCAUAAAUGCAGCUAAUGCUAACAUGAUUCCAACGGACCUAAGCAUCGCUACGGAUGAGAAAAACUCAUCGUAGUCAACUCCUUGAACUUGUGAAAAUACUCUUUGCCACAAGUCGAGCUUCAUAGACGGUAACAUUACCGUCCAUGUCCGUCUUCUUCUUAAAGAUCCAUUUAUCUCAAUGGCUUGCCGAUCAUCGGGCAAGUUCACCAAAGUCCAUGCUUUGUUCUGAUACAUGGAUUCUAUCUCGGAUUUCAUGGCCUCGAGCCAUUCGUCGGAAUAUGGGCCCACCGUCGCUUCUCCAUAGCUCGUAGGUUCAUUGUUGUCUAGCAACAUGACUUCCAAGACAGGAUCACGCAUUACUCUGAAGUAGUGCGCAUCCUCGUCGUCCUACGAGGUUUGGUAGUGACUUGAUCCGAAGUUUCAUGAUCACUAUCAUAAGCUUCCACUUCAAUUGGUAUAGGUGCCACAGGAACAACUUCCUGUGCCCUGCUACACACUAGUUGAAGCGACGGUUCAAUAACCUUAUCAAGUCUCCACCAUCCUCCCACUCAAUUCUUUCGAGAGAAACUUUUCCUCGAGAAAGGACUCGUUUCUAGAAGCAAUUACUUUUGCUUCCAGAUCUGAAAUAGGAGGUAUACCCAACUGUUUUUGGGUAUUCUAUGAAGAUGCAUUUAUCCGCUUUGGGUUCGAGCUUAUCAGCCUGAAACUUUUUCACAUAAGCAUCGCAGCCCCAAACUUUUAAGAAACGACAACUUAGGUUUCUCUAAACGGUGUCGUCUCAACGGAAUUGCGUGGUGCCCCUUUUAAAGUGAAUGCGGUUGUCUCUAAUGCCUAACCCAUAAACGAUAGUGGUAAUUCGAUAAGAGACAUCAUGGUAUGCACCAUAUCCAAUAGGGUGCAGCUAUGAUGUCCGGACACACCAUCACACUAUGGUGUUUCCAGGCGGUAUUAAUUGUGAAACACUUUCCACGAUGUCUUAAUUGUGUGCCAAACUCGUAACUCAGAUACUCAUCUCUAUGAUCAUAUCAUAGACAUUUUAUCCUCUUGUCACGACGAUCUUCAACUUCACUCUGAAAUCACUUGAACCUUUCAAUAAUUCAGACUUGUGUUUCAUUAAGUAAAUACACUCAGCAUCUACUCAAACCAUCUGUGAAGUAAGAACAUAACGAUAUCCACUGCAUGCCUCAGCACUCAUUGGACUGCAUACAUCAAAAUGUAUUACUUCCAAUAAGUUGCCCUCUUGUUCCAUUUUACUGAAAACGAGGCUUUUCAGUCAUCUUGCCCACGUGGUAUGAUUUGCAUGUCUCAAGUGAUUCAAAAUCAAGUGAGUCCAAAUGAUCCAUCUACAUGGAGUUUCUUCAUGCAUAUAUACCAAUAGACAUGGUUCGCAUGUCUCAAUCUUUUCAAAAAACGAUUGAGUCCAAAGAUCCAUCUACAUGGAGCUUCUUCAUGCGUUCUAUACCAAUAUGACUCAAAUUGCAGUGCCACAAGUAUGUGGUACUAUCAUUACUAUCUUAUAUCUUUUGGCACGAACAUGUGUAUCAUGGCGAUCGAGAUUCAUUUCAGGUGCAAGACCAUUGAAAAUAUUAUUCAAAUAAACAGAGUAACCAUUAUUCUCCUUAAAUGAAUAACCGUAUUGCGAUAAACAUGAUCCAAUCAUGCUCAAUGCAAACACCAAAUCUCGAUGGUAGAGGGAGCAUGCGAUGCUUGAUCAUAUCAACCUUGGAAACACUUCCAACACACAUCGUCAUCUCACUUUUAGCCAGUCUCCAUUUAUUCCGCAGCUUUUAUUUCGAGUUACUAACACUUAGCAACCGAACCGGUAUCUAAUACCCUGGUGCUGCUAGGAGUACUAGUAAAGUACACAUUCAUAUAAUGUAUAUCCAAUAUACUUCUGUCGACCUUGCCUGCCUUCUCAUCUACCAAGUAUCUAGGGUAGUACUGCUUCAGUGACCGUUCCUCUCAUUACAGGAGCACUUAGUCUCGGGUUUGGGUUCAACCUUGGGAUUCUUCACUAGAGCAGCAAAUGACUUGCUGUUUCAUGAAGUAUCCCUUUUGCCCUUGCCCUUCUAGAAACUAGUGGUUUUACUAACCAUCAACAAUUGAUGCUCCUUCUUGAUUUCUACUCUCGUGGUGUCAAACAUCGCGAAUAGCUCAAGGAUCAUCAUAACUAUCCCUGAUAUGUUAUAGUUCAUCACGAAGAUCUACUAGCUUGGUGGCAGUGACUAUGGAGAACUAUCACUAUCUCAUCCGGGAGAUUAACUCCCACUCGAUUCAAGCGAUUGUGGCACUCAGACAAUCUGAGCACAUGCUCAACGAUCGAGCCUUUCUCCCUUAGUUUGCAGUUUUAAGAAACUUGUCAGAGGUCUCAUACCUCUUGACGUGGGCACUAGUCUGAAAUCCCAAUUUCAGUCUUCGGAACAUCUCACAUGUUCUGCGACGUUUCAAAAACGUCCUUGGUGCCACAAUUCUAAACCGCACUGAACUAUCACGUAGUCAUCAAAACGUGUAUGUCAGAUGUUUCGUAACAUCUACAGACGACGCUGAGGUUCAGCACACCGAGCGGUGCAUUAAGGACAUAAGCCUUUUGUGCAGCAAUGAGGACAAUCCUCAGUUUACGGACCCGGUCCGCAUAAUUGCUACUACCAACUUUCAACUAAAUUUUCUCUAGGAACAUAUCUUAACCAGUAGAACUAAAGCGCAAACUAUGACAUAAUUUGCAAAUACCUUUUUGACUAUGUUCAUGAUAAUGAAGUUCAUCUGAUUAUGAACUCCCACUCAGAUAGACAUCCCUCUAGUCAUCUAAGUGAUACAUGAUCCGAGUCAAACUAGGCCGUGUCCGAUCAUCACGUGAGACGGACUAGUCAUCAUCGGUGAACAUCUCCAUGUUGAUCGUAUCUACUAUACGACUCAUGUUCGACCUUUCGGUCUCUUGUGUUCCGAGGCCAUGUCUGUACAUGCUAGGCUCGUCAAGUCAACCUAAGUGUUUCGCUUGUGUUCCGAGGCCAUGUCUGUACAUGCUAGGCUCGUCAACACCCGUUGUAUUCGAACGUUAGAAUCUAUCACACCCGAUCAUCACGUGGUGCUUCGAAACAACGAACCUUCGCAACGGUGCACAGUUAGGGUGAACACUUUCUUGAAAUUAUUAUAAGGGAUCAUCUUACUUACUACCGUCGUUCUAAGCAAAUAAGAUGCAAAAACAUGAUAAACAUCACAUGCAAUCAAAUAGUGACAUGAUAUGGCCAAUAUCAUCAUGCUCCUUUGAUCUCCAUCUUCGGGGCACCAUGAUCAUCUUCGUCACCGGCAUGACACCAUGAUCUCCAUCAUCAUGAUCUCCAUCAUUGUGUCUUCAUGAAGUCGUCACCCCAACGAUUACUUCUACUUCUAUGGCUAACGCGUUUAGCAACAAAGUAAAGUAAUUUACAUGGCGUUAUUCAAUGACACGCAGGUCAUACAAAAUAAUAAAGACAACUUCUAUGGCUCCUGCCGGUUGUCAUACUCAUCGACAUGCAAGUCGUGAUUCCUAUUACAAGAAUAUGAUCAAUCUCAUACAUCACAUAUAUCAUUCAUCACAUCUUCUGGCCAUAUCACAUCACAUAGCACUUGCUGCAAAAACAAGUUAGACGUCCUCUAAUUGUUGUUGCAAGUUUUUACGUGGUUUGUAGGUUUCUAGCAAGAACGUUUUCUUACCUACGUAUGACCACAACGUGAUUUGCCAAUUUCUAUUUACCCUUCAUAAGGACCCUUUUCAUCGAAUCCAUUCCGACUAAAGUAGGAGAGACAGACACCCGCUAGCCACCUUAUGCAUCUAGUGCAUGUCAGUCGGUGGAACCUGUCUCACGUAAGCGUACGUGUAAGGUCGGUCCGGGACGCUUCAUCCUAUAAUGCCGCCGAAACAAGAAAAGACUAGUAGCGGCAAGAAGAAUUGACAAACUCAACGCCAACAACUGCUUUGUGUUCUACUCGUGCAUAGUAACUACGCAUAGGCCUGGCUCAUGAUGCCACUGUUGGUAAUCGUAGCAUAAUUUUAAAAUUUUCCUACGCUCACCAAGAUGCAUCUAUGGAGUAUACUAGCAACGAGGGGAAGGGAGUGCAUCUACAUACCCUUGUAGAUCACGAGCGGAAGCGUUCCAAUGAACGUGGAUGACGGAGUCGUACUCGCCGUGAUCCAAAUCACCGAUGACCGAGUGCCGAACGGACGGCACCUCCGCGUUCAACACACGUACGGUGCAGCGACGUCUCCUCCUUCUUGAUCCAGCAAGGGGGAAGGAGAGGUUGAUGGAGAUCCAGCAGCACGACGGCGUGGUGGUGGAUGUAGCGGGUCUCCGGCAGGGCUUCGCCAAGUUUCUGCGAGAGAGAGAGAGGUGUUGCAGGGGAGGAGGGAGGCGCCCAAGGCUGUAGCUUGCUGCCCUCCCUCCCCCCUUUAUAUAGGCCCCCUUGGGAGGGGGGUCCGGCCAAAACCCAUCUAGGGUUGGGGGGCGGCGGCCAAGGGGUGGAAGGGGUUGCUUUGCCCCCCAAGGCAAGGGGGAAGUCCCACCACCCUAGGGUUCCCAACCCUAGGCGCAUGGGGGAGGCCCAUGGGGGGCGCCCAGCCCACUAAGGGCUGGUUCCCUUCCACUUUCAGCCCAUGGGGCCCUCCGGGAUAGGUGGCCCCACCCGGUGGACCCCCGGGACCCUUCCGGUGGUCCCGGUACAAUACCGGUAACCCCCGAAACUUUUCCGGUGGCCGAAACUGGACUUCCUAUAUAUAAUUCUUCACCUCCGGACCAUUCCGGAACCUCUCGUGACGUCCGGGAUCUCAUCCGGGACUCCGAACAACUUUCGGGUUUCCGCAUACAUAUAUCUCUACAACCCUAGCGUCACCGAACCUUAAGUGUGUAGACCCUACGGGUUCGGGAGACAUGCAGACAUGACCGAGACGCCUCUCCGGUCAAUAACCAACAGCAGGAUCUGGAUACCCAUGUUGGCUCCCACAUGCUCCACGAUGAUCUCAUCGGAUGAACCACGGUGUCGAGGAUUCAAUCAAUCCCGUAUGCAAUUCCCUUUGUCAAUCGGUAUGUUACUUGCCCGAGAUUCGAUCGUCGGUAUCCCAAUACCUUGUUCAAUCUCGUUACCGGCAAGUCUCUUUACUCGUACCGCAAUGCAUGAUCCCGUGACUAACGCCUUAGUCACAUUGAGCUCAUUAUGAUGAUGCAUUACCGAGUGGGCCCAGAGAUACCUCUCCGUCACACGGAGUGACAAAUCCCAGUCUCGAUCCGUGCCAACCCAACAGACACUUUCGGAGAUACCCGUAGUGCACCUUUAUAGUCACCCAGUUACGUUGUGACGUUUGGCACACCCAAAGCUUCCGGGAGUUGCACGAUCUCAUGGUCUAAGGAAAAGAUACUUGACAUUGGAAAAGCUCUAGCAAACGAAACUACACGAUCUUUUAUGCUAUGCUUAGGAUUGGGUCUUGUCCAUCACAUCAUUCUCCUAAUGAUGUGAUCCCGUUAUCAAUGACAUCCAAUGUCCAUAGUCAGGAAACCAUGACUAUCUGUUGAUCAACGAGCUAGUCAACUAGAGGCUUACUAGGGACACGUUGUGGUCUAUGUAUUCACACAUGUAUUACGAUUUCCGGACAAUACAAUUAUAGCAUGAACAAUAGACGAUUAUCAUGAACAAAGAAAUAUAAUAAUAACCAUUUAUUAUUGCCUCUAGGGCAUAUUUCCAACACCCCUGCCUCUUCUUACUAUAACCAGUCGCUGUUUUGAUGCUACUCGUCUUCCUCUAUCCAACAAGCUUGAGUUUGCUCAAUUCGGAGCUCAUUUGCAGAAGUUAUGGCAGUUUUGGUUUCCUAGAGGUAGUACCGCGGGCCGGAGCGGUAGUACCGCUUGGGUUCUACAAGCGGUAGUACCGCUCUAGAGCGGUAGUACCGCUGGUAGCCCCCAGCCAUAGUACCGCUGCGGUCUCGUGCCAGUACCGCCUCGAUUCGAGGGGUCUUUUUCCGUGUCGGGUUUUACGGUACUAGCUGCGGCAGUGGGGGCCGUAGUACCGCUCGUAUGCGGUAGUACCGCCCUGCCACCGCAGUAGUACCGCUCUGGGCCCAGAGGCAGUACCGCGAGGGGGAGCGGUAGUACCGCUUAUAGGGGCAAGCGGUAGUACCGCUGGCCGGUAGUACCGCUCUCUGCGGGGCUGAAGUGGGGGUAACGGUUGGAUUGUUCCCCCCACUAUAUAAGGAGGUCUUCUUCCCCAAUGAAACUCAUCCGUUAAGCUCGUGUUCUUCCCCCAUUGUUGACCUUCUUCGAGCUUGCUAACUCUCAAUCCCUCCAUGGAUUCUUGCUAGUUUUUGAGGGAAAAGAGAGAGGAGAUCUAGAUCCACAUUUCCACCAAUCACUUUAUCCUCUAUGUGAGGGGAACCCCUUGGAUCUAGAUCUUGGAGUUCUUGGUGUUCUCCUUCUUGUUCUUCCUCUCUUUUUCCUCCCUAGCAUUAGUUGCUUCGGUGGGAUUUGAGAGAGAAGGACUUGGGCACUCCGUGUGCCCUUGCCAUUGCAUUUGGUGCAUCGGUUUGAGUUCUCCACGGUGAUACGUGGAAGUUACGAGUUGAGAAGCUUAUUACUCUUGGGUGCUUGGUACCCUUGAGCUUGUUCCUCUUGGGUGCUUGGGCGCCCUAGACGGUUGGUGGUGUUCGGAGCUCAAUCAUUGUGGUGUAAAGCUCCGGCCAAGCGUCGGGGUCUCCAAUUAGGUUGUGGAGAUCGCCCCGAGCAAUUUGACGGGUUCUGGUGACCGCCUCCAAGGGUUGCCAAAAUGUACGGGUUCGGUGACCGCCCCCAAGGGUUGCCAUUUGUACGGGUUCGGUGACCGCCCUCAAGGGUCCCUUAGUGGAAUCACGGCAUCUUGCAUUGUGCGAGGGCGUGAGGAGAUUACGGUGGCCCUAGUGGCUUCUGGGGAGCAUUGUGCCUCCACACCGCUCCAAACGGAGAUUAGCAUCCGCAAGGGUGUGAACUUCGGGAUACAUCGUCGUCUCCGCGUGCCUCGAUUAUCUCUUACCCGAACCCUUUACUUAUGCACUUUACUUUGUGAUAGCCAUAUUGUUUCUUGUCAUAUAUCUUGCUAUCACUUAGUUGUUUAUCUUGCUUAGCAUUAGUUGUUGGUGCACAUAGGUGAGCCUAGUUGUUGUAGGUUUUGUGCUUGUCAAAUUAACCGCUAGGUUUAUUCCGCAUUUGUUCAAGCCUAAACCGUAAUUAUUUUAAAGCGCCUAUUCCCCCCUCUAGGCGACAUCCACGAUCUUUCAGGGAGCCCUCCUUCUUUUCCCUUGGCCUCCCUCCUAGGUGGGAGAAGGUUUCCUCGUUUGGUCCAUGGUUUCCACCAAUGCAUGUGCUUGGCAUCUAAUCGCCUUGAAACCAGGGAUGCAGGUGAUUGUUUUCCCUAGGCAACUAUCUUACCUUCCGUACCAUCGUGACUUGCAAUGAAAGCGUGAUGUAUCAGAUCUAUCCAACAAUUAUCUUACACAACGUGGACUACACCCAAGUAUCUCGACCGUGGAAAUAGCAGGAGCACCGGCAGGCAUCCGAGUACAUAGAGAGAUGUGCAUAGAGGAGUGGGUUUCUCCGUCAUGUGCCUGUCUAAUGCCGGGUAGGUGGACGAACAGGCAACCAACUUCAAUGUAGCAGGAAUCCAUCAUGUCGCCCCAUCCGGCUGUGUUGCUCCGAGCCGACAUUAACGCGGCUCGAAUGACAGGCCGGAGUUGGCGCCUCGCUUCAGUGCUUCAACUCGCUUUAGUGCUUGUAGUCGUCGCUAGUUGGUCUACGAAUUUGGAUGUAUUUUUUUGUGUUCGUUGUACUGUCAUGAUUGAAGAUGAAUAGAUCGAAAGUUUUCUGGAAAAAAAGCUUCCUACAAGUAGAUGACUCGUUUCCGGUUUCUUCAAGCUGGCCAUAGCGGGAGUAACUUAGCUACUAACAUAAGGUGAUUUAAAAAAAACUAGUAACAUAACGUAUCCCAACACAAGUUUUCUUAUGUGGUAAAGAGUCAAAGACGAGAGUUGUUUGUGGUAACAUAAUAUGUUAUCAUAACAUAGCGCAACCCAAGGCACAAUGAUAUUUUGCAAAAAAAUUUGGUAACUCCCAUAAUUUCUUGGUAGUGGCUCGGUUCCAUGUCUCAUUUCAUAGGGAUGCCCAAAAUGACUCUAUUUCACUCAAUAACAUAGAAAUUCAUACUACUUCCUCCUAGACGUAAAUCCGUAACUAGACAAAUCUAAGACAAGAAUUUUGGGACGGGGAGUAAAGGGCCCACUGAUUGGGAGGACAGGUGCCGGCAGAUUAGACUACCCACAGUGGGAGUAACAUAGGUAGUAACAUCAUACAUAUCUAGAUAAAAUAGAUGAUGUGGCAUGCAAUAAAUGAAGAAAGAGAGAAGAGUGGUAACAUAGCUAGUUACUAGUAGUAUGAGUAACAUCACACAUAUCAAGGCAAGAUGUGUCUAUAGCCUAAUAAAUAAAGUGUUGCAUGUUACCACACAUAUGUCACUCCCACUAUAAAGGUAGUAAUAUAGACUAUGUUACUACUGUAUGUUACUACCCAUUGUGGCUAGUCUUACAGCGGGUGCGCACGAGGUGAAGUUUGCAGCCCGGUCUCCACUCUCCACCCAAAUAUUUGCAGCCCGGUCUCCACUCUCCACCCAAAUAUUCUCCGCUCCCAAUUCCAAGCGGCCUCUCCCCCCUCUUCUUUGCUUCCCUCGGCCUCUCCACCUUUCCCCCCGCCCGCUCCCCAGUUCCCACCCCAACAUCCACCUCCCUCCCUCCAUCCCUCUCUAGCUUCUGCCGCGAACCCUAGGGAGGGUCCCCAACAACAUGGACGUCGAGUCCGAGGUCUCGGCGGACGCCGCCGCUGCGGCGACGAACGGGUUGGGUGGCGCGGGGGAGGCUGCCGCUGAGGACGCGGAGGCCGUUGUGGUGACGAACGGCCUGGCUGGCGGUGGGGAGGCCUCCGCCGAGCAGCGCAGCUUGGAGGCGUACGCCGCGCUGUACUCGGGUCGGACCCGCCUGGCGCGCCUCGUGUUCAUCGCGCAGAGAUGCGGGGUGGAGGCGAUCGAGCUCGCGGCGCUGCGGAUGGCGUACGACGAGGCCAAGGCGCGCGAGGACACGGCAUUCUACCGCGAGGCCGCCCUCAGGAUCAACGGCCGCCUCGGCCCUACCCACCUGCUCGACCAGGAUUGGGUCGACUCCGUCAAUCACCGCGCCGAGCAGCGCAAGGAGAAUCUCGAGACCGAACUCGAGGUCUANNNNNNNNNNNNNNNNNNNNNNNNNNNNNNNNNNNNNNNNNNNNNNNNNNNNNNNNNNNNNNNNNNNNNNNNNNNNNNNNNNNNNNNNNNNNNNNNNNNNNNNNNNNNNNNNNNNNNNNNNNNNNNNNNNNNNNNNNNNNNNNNNNNNNNNNNNNNNNNNNNNNNNNNNNNNNNNNNNNNNNNNNNNNNNNNNNNNNNNNNNNNNNNNNNNNNNNNNNNNNNNNNNNNNNNNNNNNNNNNNNNNNNNNNNNNNNNNNNNNNNNNNNNNNNNNNNNNNNNNNNNNNNNNNNNNNNNNNNNNNNNNNNNNNNNNNNNNNNNNNNNNNNNNNNNNNNNNNNNNNNNNNNNNNNNNNNNNNNNNNNNNNNNNNNNNNNNNNNNAAUUUACCACUUGGUUCACAUUACUUUCUGCUUUGGAUGUGGUUACAUUGAUCCGUAAGGAAUUCGAUCCCGUGUCUGCCUACUGCCAUGGCGCGAGGAUUACUGUAUGCGCGAGUAAUAUGCCUUAUUUCUAACUUGGUAUCUUGUGGUAUGUUCGCUUACUUAGUAGUCUUUGCACGAGCAUGAUUUUCUAUGCUGUGAUGAGAGUAAGUCGUGGUUACCUUGCACUUUGUUUGGUAAACAUUGAUGGAAAUGGUUGUUUGAUCAGGGUGUGGAGCUGAACUAUAGGUUUAUCAAGUUAUUUGGGUCGAUAUUGUAAAUCAAUCAUGUAAAAUUUCUCUGAUUGCAAUCCUUUUGCCAUCAGGUGAUGUUUUCGGAAAGAUAUUUGUGUACAAUUAAACUCUUUACACAAAACAACCAUUUAUGACUUGUUAGGAGUACACACAGUGAUUUUUAUUAUUAGCAGAAGCUAGGCAAAAACAUGAUACAUGGGGAGAUGGGGGCCUUAUUAGCAGAAGCAAGGCCUUAUUUGGUAAUGGUAUCCUACUACUAUGUGCAAGCAUCUUGCAGGAGCAUACAUUUUUGCUGUGAUGAAAAAAGAAUAAAUCGUGGUUAUCCUGCACACUGCUUGGUCUACAUUGCUGAAAUGAUUGCUUGAUUAGGGUGCGGUGCAGAAACUGUAGGUGUUAUGCAGUCAUUUGGGAUCAUGCAUGUUUUCUUUGAGUGCAUCCCUUUUCCAUUAGGUCUUGGUAGCAACUUCAAAGCAUUUACAUGAAUACAACUAUUUGGGAGUACAUGGAGUGAAUUUUUUUUCUUAGCACAAGCAAAGUAAAAACAAGAUAUAAGGUGGCGAAUGGAACUAUUUUCCAGUUUCCUGGGCCAUUGUUCUUUUUUGCCUGUGUGGCCACUGACCAGUCUGUUACAUAUGAACCCAGACAUGGCUCACACAUAUACAAGCUACCACCUGAUUUAUCUGCAGUUCUUAGAAGACACAAAACCCUGUCUACUUACCUUCACUAUAUGCUACCUUGUCAGUAUUCUGCCUCCUCGUGCCUCUGUGUUUUGGUGGCACACCUUUCCAUGCUUUGAUGCCUCUAUAUAUGCUGCAAAAGAAUCUGUUCUCUGGCAUUUGAAUUCUGGUUUAGUAUAUUUGUUUGUGGCUUUGGUGGGUUGAUUAGCUAUGUUCUAUGGUGAUGUAAUAUAUGUAUCAAACUAGUAACUCUGUCGGUUCUUUAAAUGCAGACCUGCCUGCAUGGCGAGAGCAUCAGAAUAUGCUAUAAUGAUCUCGGUGACUUCUACUAUUCUCAUGGCCGCCUUACUGAAGCCUUCAAAAGCUAUAUCAAGACAGAAGAGUACUUCAGUGCUUCUGAGCAUGUAGUGCAGAUGUGUAUGAAGGCAAUACUGAUCAGCGUUGAAUUAGGUCACAAUGUUCGUGUUCUGAAUUUUGUAAGUAAAGCACAAGGAUGUCAAGAUCCACUGAGUCCUAUUGCCAUUGCUAAGCUGCAAGCAGUUGCAGGAUUAGCGCGUCUUGGUAGAAAGGAGUAUAAACUUGCCGCCCAAGAGGUUUGUUUUACACUUUUUACUGAUUAUUGCAAUCAUGACCAUCCCAGCCUCUUUCCUUUCGAGUUCUUCUGUGUUUGCAUCUUAAUUUUUUGCUGAAACUGUGUUUCCCUCAAGUUUCUGGAGACAGGACCUGAACUAGGAAGCAACUAUUCUGAAGUCAUAGCGGCACAAGAUGUAGCUACAUAUGGAUCUCUUUGUGCACUUGCUUUCUUAAAUUACAGUGAUAUCAAGGUUCACUUACCUCUUCUUCUACAGUGUUAUAUAUCACUCUUUUGGUAGCAUGGCACUCAAUAUAUGACUGUUCUUGUAUCUGCACAGAUGAAAGUUAUUGAGAAUGCUAAAUUUGGAUCUUUUCUGAGCCUUUUCCCUGAAAUUAGGGGGUUGGUCAAUGAUUUUUACUACAGGUAAGAUUGGUAUAUUGUUUACUUCUUGUUGUAGGUUUGUGGUUAUUUGUUGGCAUAAUCUUUUUUGCCAAUGAGUUCAGUGUCUAACAUUUUUAGUUUCUUUUGCAAGUAAUGUGUGUGUAACUGUGUAUGCUGAGUUGCUAACCAUGGAUUUUUUUUUCAAACGACCAGUCAAGAUAAGUCAUGUUGGUAGAACCAGGGAUCCUACCGGACCUGCUUCGUAGGUUGUAGGGGAAGGAUGGAGGAGGGCGGCGAUGAGCGGGCGCGCCGGCGGCUGGGCGCCGUCGCGUAGGAGGAGGAUUGCGGCGGCGGCUAGGGUUAGAGGCGGCUAGGGUUCCGGCUCCUCUGGGAGCCGGGCAAUAGGGAUAAUAAUAUUCUUAUUGCUUAAUUCCAAAAAGAGUCUUACAGCCUAUAUUUAUAACCUAGAUAACUUGCAGAAGAAUUAACCUAAGAUAACUUGUGGGCUAAGAUUGCCCGAUGGGCCUAGCUAAACCGGCCAUAACACUUCUCCCCGCCUGCACAAACAGCUCGUCCUCGAGCUGUAAGGUGGGGAAGCGCUUGCGGAACUCCUCGAGGCGAUCAACCUGCGUCAAACACCUUCUCGACAGCUGGGGCGGCCAGGUCGGCGGCGACGGCGUCCUCCGAAAUGUUGUCUGCCACCUCCAGGUAGAAGAGUCGCGGGCAGGCAUGGCCGGGCGUGUAGGGCUCGUCGUAGUUGAAGCACAGCCCUUGGCGGCGACGCUCGAGUAGCUCGGUUGAGGUAAGCCGGCGAAACGGGCGCGUCGCGGUCGCGGCGAGGGGUGCCGCAGAAGCCUGCGCAGGCCGACCCUGCGCGGAAUCCGGCCCGGGUAGUGACCCAGCGGUCCAAAACGGUGAUGCCUGUUGGAUGGCCACCACGCGGAGCUCGAACGCGCGGGCGUAGUACAUGGCCGACUGGAGAUCCUGGGGUCCCUGAAGCUCCACGUCCACGCGGAUGUGAUCCGGAAGUCCACCGACAAAGAGGUCGGCCUGCUGCUGCGCCGUCACACCCGACGCAUGGCAUGCCAGGGCCUGGAAAUGGUCGGCGUAGUCCUGCACCGUGGAGGUGAAGGGAAGGCGGCCGAGCUCCGCCAGGCGGCUCCCGCGAACCGGAGGCCCAUAGCGAAGGAGGCAGAGCUCGCGGAAGCGCUCCCAAGGGGGCAUGCUGCCCUCGUCCUGCUCGAGGGCGUAGUACCAGGUCUGGGCUGCACCGCGGAGGUGGUAGGAUGCCAGCCAAGUGCGCUCCGACGCGAGCGUGCGCUGGUCACGGAAAAACUGUUCACACUGGUUGAGCCAGUUAAGCGGGUCCUCCAUGCCGUCAUAAGUGGCGAAGUUGAUCUUGGCGAACCGUGGCGGCGUCUGGGUCGGCGCGCCAUGGCCGACCGGCUCGGCGGUGCGGAGCAGCGAUGAUGACGGCGCCCGGUCAACGGUGGGGAGGCCGCCGUAGGCCCCCGCGGAGCUGGACGAGGCCCCAGACUACAGCGUGGGUACCGGUGGGUCCCCGGCCUCUGUGUAAACUGGCAGUGGCGACGUCCCGGUUAGCCAGGCCGGGAUCGGGGACGGGGACGGCGGAAACCGAACCUGCUGGAUCGGAAGGCCUCCCGGUGUGGACUGGCCCAGUCCGAAGCUGGGCGGCGGCGGCGGGAGCUGGACNNNNNNNNNNNNNNNNNNNNNNNNNNNNNNNNNNNNNNNNNNNNNNNNNNNNNNNNNNNNNNNNNNNNNNNNNNNNNNNNNNNNNNNNNNNNNNNNNNNNNNNNNNNNNNNNNNNNNNNNNNNNNNNNNNNNNNNNNNNNNNNNNNNNNNNNNNNNNNNNNNNNNNNNNNGCGGGUGGUGCCGCGAGAACCGGCGCGGGCCACUGCGGCCAGGACGGCGCUGGGGCGGGCGGCGGCUGGAGCGACGGAUGGGCCCCGGCGAUCACCGCGGGUAUCGAGUGUUGGGAAUCGUAGCAUAAUUUAAAAUUUUCCUACGUUCACCAAGAUGCAUCUAUGGAGUCUACUAGCAACGAGGGGAAAGGAGUGCAUCUACAUACCCUUAUAGAUCGCGAGCGGAAGCGUUCCAAUGAACGUGGAUGACGGAGUCGUACUCGCCGUGAUCCAAAUCACCGAUGACCGAGUGCCGAACGGACGGCACCUCCGCGUUAAACACACGUACGGUGCAGCGACGUCUCCUCCUUCUUGAUCCAGCAAGGGGGAAGGAGAGGUUGAUGGAGAUCCAGCAGCACGACGGCGUGGUGGUGGAUGUAGCGGGUCUCCGGCAGGGCUUCGCCGAGCUUCUGCGAGAGAGAAAGAGAGGUGUUGCAGGGGAGGAGGGAGGCGCCCAAGGCUGUAGCUUGCUGCCCUCCCUUCCCCCCUUUAUAUAGGCCCCCUGGGGGGGCACCGGCCCUAGAGAUGAGAUCUCAUGGGGGGGCGGUGGCCACAAGGGGGGGAAGGGGUUGCCUUGCCCCCCCAAGGCAAGGGGGAACUCCCCCCCCCCCAGGGUUCCCAACCCUAGGCGCAUGGGGGGAGGCCCAAGGGGGGUGCCCCGGCCCACUAAGGGCUGGUUCCCUUCCACUUUCAGCCCACGGGGCCCUCCGGGAUAGGUGGCCCCACCCGGUGGACCCCCGGGACCCUUCCGGUGGUCCCGGUACAAUACCGGUAACCCCCGAAACUUUCCCGGUGGCCGAAACUGGACUUCCUAUAUAUAAUUCUUCACCUCCGGACCAUUCCGGAACCUCUCGUGACGUCCGGGAUCUCAUCCGGGACUCCGACCAACUUUCGGGUUUCCGCAUACAUAUAUCUCUACAACCCUAGCGUCACCGAACCUUAAGUGUGUAGACCCUACGGGUUCGGGAGACAUGCAGACAUGACCGAGACGCCUCUCCGGUCAAUAACCAACAACGGGAUCUGGAUACCCAUGUUGGCUCCCACAUGCUCCACGAUGAUCUCAUCGGAUGAACCACGGUGUCGAGGAUUCAAUCAAUCCGUAUGCAAUUCCCUUUGUCAAUCGGUAUGUUACUUGCCCGAGAUUCGAUCGUCGGUAUCCCAAUACCUUGUUCAAUCUCGUUACCGGCAAGUCUCUUUACUCGUACCGCAAUGCAUGAUCCCGUGACUAACGCCUUAGUCACAUUGAGCUCAUUAUGAUGAUGCAUUACCGAGUGGGCCCAGAGAUACCUCUCCGUCACACGGAGUGACAAAUCCCAGUCUCGAUCCGUGCCAACCCAACAGACACUUUCGGAGAUACCCGUAAUGCACCUUUAUAGUCACCCAGUUACGUUGUGACGUUUGGCACACCCAAAGCACUCCUACGGUAUCCGGGAGUUGCACGAUCUCAUGGUCUAAGGAAAAGAUACUUGACAUUAGAAAAGCUCUAGCAAACGAAACUACACGAUCUUUUAUGCUAUGCUUAGGAUUGGGUCUUGUCCAUCACAUCAUUCUCCUAAUGAUGUGAUCCCGUUAUCAAUGACAUCCAAUGUCCAUAGUCAGGAAACCAUGACUAUCUGUUGAUCAACGAGCUAGUCAACUAGAGGCUUACUAGGGACACGUUGUGGUCUAUGUGUUCACACAUGUAUUACGAUUUCCGGACAAUACAAUUAUAGCAUGAACAAUAGACGAUUAUCAUGAACAAAGAAAUAUAAUAAUAACCAUUUAUUAUUGCCUCUAGGGCAUAUUUCCAACAGUCUCCCACUUGCACUAGAGUCAAUAAUCUAGUUACAUUGUGAUGAAUCGAACACCCAUUGCGUCCUGGUGUUGAUCAUGUUUUGCCCUAGGGAGAGGUUUAGUCAACGGAUCUGCUACAUUCAGGUCCGUAUGUACUUUACAAAUAUCUAUGUCUCCAUUUUGAACACUUUCACGAAUGGAGUUGAAGCGACGCUUGAUAUGCCUGGUCUUCCUGUGAAACCUGGGCUCCUUCGCAAGGGCAAUUGUUGGAAAUAUGCCCUAGAGGCAAUAAUAAAUGGUUAUUAUUAUAUUUCUGUGUUCAUGAUAAUAGUCUAUUAUUCGUGCUAUAAUUGUAUUGUCCGGAAAUCAUAAUACAUGUGUGAAUACAUAGACCACAACCUGUCCCUAGUAAGCCUCUAGUUGACUAGCUCGUUGAUCAACAGAUAGUCAUGGUUUCCUGACUAUGGACAUUGGAUGUCAUUGAUAACGGGAUCACAUCAUUAGGAGAAUGAUGUGAUGGACAAGACCCAACUUAAGCAUAGCAUAAAAGAUCGUGUAGUUUCGUUUGCUAGAGCUUUUCCAAUGUCAAGUAUCUUUUCCUUAGACCAUGAGAUCGUGCAACUCCCGGAUACCGUAUGAGUGCUUUGGGUGUGCCAAACGUCACAACGUAACUGGGUGACUAUAAAGGUGCAUUACGGGUAUCUCCGAAAGUGUCUGUUGGGUUGGCACGGAUCGAGACUGGGAUUUGUCACUCCGUGUAAACGGAGAGGUAUCUCUGGGCCCACUCGGUAAUGCAUCAUCAUAAUGAGCUCAAUGUGACUAAGGCGUUAGUCACGGGAUCAUGCAUUGCGGUACGAGUAAAGAGACUUGCCGGUAACGAGAUUGAACUAGGUAUUGGGAUACCGACGAUCGAAUCUCGGGCAAGUAACAUACCGAUUGACAAAGGGAAUUGCAUACGGAUUGAUUGAAUCCUCGACACCGUGGUUCACCCAAUGAUAUCAUCAUGGAACAUGUGGGAGCCAACAUGGGUAUCCAGAUCCUGCUGUUGGUUAUUGACCGGAGAGGCGUCUCGGUCAUGUCUGCAUGUCUCCCGAACCCGUAGGGUCUACACACUUAAGGUCCGGUGACGCUAGGGUUGUAGAGAUAUAUGUAUGCGGAAACCCGAAAGUUGUUCGGAGUCCCGGAUGAGAUCCCGGACGUCACGAGAGGUUCCGGAAUGGUCCGGAGGUAAAGAUUUAUAUAUGGGAAGUCUUAUUUUGGUCGCCGGAAAAGUUUCGCGCUUUAUCGGUAUUGUACCGGGAGUGCCGAAAGGGGUCCGGGGGUCCACCAAGGGGGUCCACCAGCCCCGGGGGGCCACAUGGGCUGUAAGGGGUGCGCCUUGGCCUAUAUGGGCCAAGGGCACCAGCCCCAAGAGGCCCAUGCGCAAGAGAUAAGAAAGAAGGGAGAGUCCUAAAGGGGGAAGGCACCUCCGAGGUGCCUUGGGGGGGAAGGACUCCCCCCUGGCCGCACCCUUCCUUGAAGGAAGGGGCAAGGCUGCGCCCCCCCCCCUCUCCCUUGGCCCUAUAUAUAGUGGGGGGAAGGGAGGGCAGCAAGAUCUAAGCCUUGGGCGCCUCCCUCCUCCCCUGCAACACCUCUCUCUCUCUCGCAGAAGCUCGGCGAAGCCCUGCCGGAGACCCGCUACAUCCACCACCACGCCGUCGUGCUGUUGGAUCUCCAUCAACCUCUCCUUCCCCCUUGCUGGAUCAAGAAGGAGGAGACGUCGCUGCACCGUACGUGUGUUGAACGCGGAGGUGCCGUCCGUUCGACACUCGGUCAUCGGUGAUUUGGAUCACGGCGAGUACGACUCCGUCAUCCACGUUCAUUGGAACGCUUCCGCUCGCGAUCUACAAGGGUAUGUAGAUCCACUCCUUUCCCCUCGUUGCUAGUAGACUCCAUAGAUGCAUCUUGGUGAGCGUAGGAAAAUUUUAAAUUAUGCUACGAUUCCCAACAGGCCCCACCCGGUGGACCCCCGGGACCCUUCCGGUGGUCCCGGUACAAUACCGGUAACCCCCGAAACUUUCCCGGUGGCCGAAACUGGACUUCCUAUAUAUAAUUCUUCACCUCCGGACCAUUCCGGAACCUCUCGUGACGUCCGGGAUCUCAUCCGGGACUCCGAACAACUUUCGGGUUUCCGCAUACAUAUAUCUCUACAACCCUAGCGUCACCGAACCUUAAGUGUGUAGACCCUACGGGUUCGGGAGACAUGCAGACAUGACCGAGACGCCUCUCCGGUCAAUAACCAACAGCGGGAUCUGGAUACCCAUGUUGGCUCCCACAUGUUCCACGAUGAUCUCAUCGGAUGAACCACGGUGUCGAGGAUUCAAUCAAUCCCGUAUGCAAUUCCCUUUGUCAAUCGGUAUGUUACUUGCCCGAGAUUCGAUCGUCGGUAUCCCAAUACCUUGUUCAAUCUCGUUACCGGCAAGUCUCUUUAAUCGUACCGCAAUGCAUGAUCCCGUGACUAACGCCUUAGUCACAUUGAGCUCAUUAUGAUGAUGCAUUACCGAGUGGGCCCAGAGAUACCUCUCCGUCACACGGAGUGACAAAUCCCAGUCUCGAUCCGUGCCAACCCAACAGACACUUUCGGAGAUACCCGUAGUGCACCUUUAUAGUCACCCAGUUACGUUGUGACGUUUGGCACACCCAAAGCACUCCUACGGUAUCCGGGAGUUGCACGAUCUCAUGGUCUAAGGAAAAGAUACUUGACAUUGGAAAAGCUCUAGCAAACGAAACUACACGAUCUUUUAUGCUAUGCUUAGGAUUGGGUCUUGUCCAUCACAUCAUUCUCCUAAUGAUGUGAUCCCGUUAUCAAUGACAUCCAAUGUCCAUAGUCAGGAAACCAUGACUAUCUGUUGAUCAACGAGCUAGUCAACUAGAGGCUUACUAGGGACACGUUGUGGUCUAUGUAUUCACACAUGUAUUACGAUUUCCGGAUAACACAAUUAUAGCAUGAAAAAUAGACAAUUAUCAUGAACAAGGAAAUAUAAUAAUAACCAUUUAUUAUUGCCUCUAUGGCAUAUUUCCAACAGUCUCCCACUUGCACUAGAGUCAAUAAUCUAGUUACAUUGUGAUGAAUCGAACACCCAUAGAGUUCUGGUGUUGAUCAUGUUUUGCUCUAGGGAGAGGUUUAGUCAACGGAUCUGCUACAUUCAGGUCCGUAUGUACUUUACAAAUAUCUAUGUCUCCAUUUUGAACACUUUCACGAAUGGAGUUGAAGCGACGCUUGAUAUGCCUGGUCUUCCUGUGAAACCUGGGCUCCUUGGCAAGGGCAAUUGCUCCAGUGUUGUCAUAGAAGAGAGUCAUCGGGCCCGACGCAUUGGGAAUCACCCCUAGGUCGGUAAUGAACUCCUUCAUCCAGAUUGCUUCUUGCGCUGCCUCUGAGGCUGCCAUGUACUCCGCUUCACAUGUAGAUCCCGCCACGAUGCUUUGCUUGCAACUGCACCAGCUUACUGCCCCUCCAUUCAAAAUAUACACGUAUCCGGUUUGUGACUUUGAGUCAUCCAGAUCUGUGUCGAAGCUAGCGUCGACGUAACCCUUUACGAUGAGCUCUUCGUCACCUCCAUAAACAAGAAACAUAUCCUUAGUCCUCUUCAGGUACUUCAGGAUAUUCUUGACCGCUGUCCAGUGUUCCAUGCCGGGAUUACUUUGGUACCUUCCUACCAAACUUACGGCAAGGUUUACAUCAGGUCUGGUACACAGCAUGGCAUACAUAAUAGACCCUAUGGCCGAGGCAUAGGGGAUGACGCUCAUCUUUUCUCUAUCUUCUGCCGUGGUCGGGCAUUGAGCCGUGCUCAACUGCACACCUUGCAAUACAGGCAAGAACCCCUUCUUGGACUGAUCCAUAUUGAACUUUUUCAAUAUCUUGUCAAGGUAUGUACUCUGUGAAAGACCAAUGAGGCGUCUUGAUCUAUCCCUAUAGAUCUUGAUGCCUAAUAUAUAAGCAGCUUCUCCAAGGUCCUUCAUUGAAAAACAUUUAUUCAAAUAGGCCUUUAUACUUUUCAAGAAUUCUAUAUCAUUUCCCAUCAAUAAUAUGUCAUCCACAUAUAAUAUGAGAAAUGCUACAGAGCUCCACUCACUUUUUUGUAAACACAGGCUUCUCCAUAAGUCUGUGUGAACCCAAACGCUUUGAUCAUCUCAUCAAAGCGAAUGUUCCAACUCCGAGAUGCUUGCACCAGCCCAUAAAUUGAGCGCUGGAGCUUGCAUACUUUGUUAGCAUUCUUAGGAUCGACAAAACCUUCCGGCUGCAUCAUAUACAACUCUUCCUUAAGGAAGCCGUUAAGGAAUGCCGUUUUGACAUCCAUCUGCCAUAUCUCAUAAUCAUAGUAUGCGGCAAUUGCUAACAUGAUUCGGACGGACUUCAGCUUCGCUACGGGUGAGAAAGUCUCAUCGUAGUCAACCCCUUGAACUUGUCGAUAACCCUUAGCGACAAGUCGAGCUUUGUAGAUGGUCACAUUACCAUCUGCGUCCGUCUUCUUCUUAAAGAUCCAUUUGUUUUCUAUGGCUCGCCGCUCAUCGGGCAAGUCAGUCAAAGUCCAUACUUUGUUUUCAUACAUGGAUUCUAUCUCGGAUUUCAUGUCUUCUAGCCAUUUGUCGAAAUCCGGGUCCGCCAUCGCUUCUUCAUAGUUCGAAGGUUCACCGUUGUCUAACAACAUGAUUUUCAGGACAGGAUUGCCGUACCACUCUGGUGCGGAACGUGUUCUUGUGGACCUACGAAGUUCAGUAACUUGAUCCGAAGCUUCAUGAUCAUCAUCAUUAACUUCCUCCCUAGUCGGUGUAGGCACCACAGGAACAUUUUCCCGCGCUGCGCUACUUUCCGGUUCGGAAGGGGUGACUAUCACCUCAUCAAGUUCCACUUUCCUCCCACUCAAUUCUUUCAAGAGAAACUCCUUCUCCAGAAAGGACCCGUUCUUGGCAACGAAGAUCUUGCCUUCGGAUCUGAGGUCGAAGGUAUACCCAAUAGUUUCCUUAGGGUAUCCUAUGAAGACGCAUUUUUCCGACUUGGGUUCAAGUUCGAGCUUUUCAGGUUGAAGUUUCUUGACAUAAGCAUCGCAUCCCCAAACUUUUAGAAACGACAGCUUAGGUUUCUUCCCAAACCAUAAUUCAUACGGUGUCGUCUCAACGGAUUUCGACGGAGCCCUAUUUAAAGUGAAUGCGGCAGUCUCUAAAGCAUAGCCCCAAAAUGAGAGCGGUAAAUCGGUAAGAGACAUCAUAGAUCGCACCAUAUCCAAUAGAGUGCGAUUACGACGUUUGGACACACCAUUUCUCUGAGGUGUUCCAGGCGGCGUGAGUUGUGAAACUAUUUCACAUUUCCUUAAGUGUGUACCAAAUUCGUGACUUAAAUAUUCUCCACCACGAUCUGAUCGUAAGAAUUUUAUUUUCCUGUCACGUUGAUUCUCGACUUCACUCUGAAAUUCCUUGAACUUUUCAAAGGUUUCAGACUUGUGUUUCAUUAGGUAGACAUACCCAUAUCUACUUAAAUCAUCAGUGAGAGUGAGAACAUAACGAUAUCCUCCGCGAGCCUCAACACUCAUUGGACCGCACACAUCGGUAUGUAUGAUUUCCAAUAAGUUGGUUGCUUGCUCCAUUGUUCCGGAGAACGGAGUCUUGGUCAUCUUACCCAUGAGGCAUGGCUCGCACGUGUCAAAUGAUUCGUAAUCAAGAGACUCCAAAAGUCCAUCUGCAUGGAGCUUCCUCAUGCGCUUGACACUAAUGUGACCAAGGCGGCAGUGCCACAAGUAUGUGGGACUAUCGUUAUCAACUUUACAUCUUUUGGUAUUCACACUAUGAACAUGUGUAACAUCACGUUCGAGAUUCAUCAAAAAUAAACCAUUGACCAGCGGGGCAUGACCAUAAAACAUAUCUCUCAAAUAAAUAGAACAACCAUUAUUCUCAGAUUUAAAUGAGUAGCCAUCUCGAAUUAAACGAGAUCCAGAUACAAUGUUCAUGCUCAAAGCUGGCACUAAAUAACAAUUAUUGAGGUUUAAAACUAAUCCCGUAGGUAGAUGCAGAGGUAGCGUGCCGACGGCGAUCACAUCGACCUUGGAACCAUUCCCAACGCGCAUCGUCACCUCGUCCUUCGCCAGUCUCCGUUUAUUCCGUAGUUCCUGUUUUGAGUUACAAAUAUGAGCAACGGCACCGGUAUCAAAUACCCAGGAGCUACUACGAGUACUGGUAAGGUACACAUCAAUUACUUGUAUAUCACAUAUACCUUGGGUGUUGCCGGCCUUCUUCUUGUCCGCUAAGUAUUUGGGGCAGUUCCGCUUCCAGUGACCACUUCCGUUGCAAUAAAAGCACUCAGUCUCGGGCUUGGGUCCAUUCCUUGACUUCUUCCCAGUAACUGGUUUACCGGGCGCGGCAACUCCCUUGCCGUCCUUCUUGAAGUUCUUCUUACCCUUGCCCUUCUUGAACUUAGUGGUUUUAUUCACCAUCAACACUUGAUGUUCUUUUCUGAUCUCUACCUCAGCUGAUUUCAGCAUUGAAUAUACCUCAGGAAUGGUCUUUUCCAUCCCCUGCAUAUUGAAGUUCAUCACAAAGCUCUUGUAGCUUGGUGGAAGCGACUGGAGGAUUCUGUCAACGACCGUGUCAUCCGGGAGAUUAACUCCCAGCUGAGACAAGCGGUUGUGCAACCCAGACAUUCUGAGUAUGUGCUCACUAACAGAACUGUUCUCCUCCAUUUUACAGCUGAAGAACUUGUCGGAGACAUCAUAUCUCUCGACCCGGGCAUGAGCUUGAAAAACCAGUUUCAGCUCCUCGUACAUCUCAUAUGCUCCAUGUUUCUCAAAACGCUUUUGGAGACCCGGUUCGAAGCUGUAAAGCAUGCCGCACUGAACGAGGGAGUAAUCAUCAGCACGCUGCUGCCAAGCGUUCAUAACGUCUUGUUUCUCAGGGAUUGGUGCUUCACCUAGCGGUGCUUCUAAGACAUAAUCUUUCUUGGCUGCUAUGAGGAUGAUCCUCAGGUUCCGGACCCAGUCCGUAUAGUUGCUGCCAUCAUCUUUCAGCUUGGUUUUCUCUAGGAACGCGUUGAAAUUGAGGACAACGUUGGUCAUUUGAUCUACAAUACAUAGUGUAAAGAUUUUAGACUAAGUUCAUGAUAAUUAAGUUCAUUUAAUCAAAUUAUUUAAUGAACUUCCACUCAGAUAGACAUCCCUCUAGUCAUCUAAGUGAAACAUGAUCCGAAUUCGACUAGGCCGUGUCCGAUCAUCACGUGAGACGGACUAGUCAAGAUUGGUGAACAUCUCCAUGUUGAUCGUAUCUUCUAUACGACUCAUGCUCGACCUUUCGGUCCUCCGUGUUCCGAGGCCAUGUCUGUACAUGCUAGGCUCGUCAAGUCAACCUAAGUGUAUUGCAUGUGUUCCGAGGCCAUGUCUGUACAUGCUAGGCUCGUCAACACCCGUUGUAUUCGAACGUUAGAAUCUAUCACACCCGAUCAUCACGUGGUGCUUCGAAACAACGAACCUUCGCAACGGUGCACAGUUAGGGUGAACACUUUCUUGAAAUUAUUAUAAGGGAUCAUCUUACUUACUACCGUCGUUCUAAGCAAAUAAGAUGCAAAAACAUGAUAAACAUCACAUGCAAUCAAAUAGUGACAUGAUAUGGCCAAUAUCAUCAUGCUCCUUUGAUCUCCAUCUUCGGGGCACCAUGAUCAUCUUCGUCACCGGCAUGACACCAUGAUCUCCAUCAUCAUGAUCUCCAUCAUUGUGUCUUCAUGAAGUCGUCACGCCAACGAUUACUUCUACUUGUAUGGCUAACGCGUUUAGCAACUAAGUAAAGUAAAUUACAUGGCGUUAUUCAAUGACACGCAGGUCAUGCAAAAUAAUAAAGACAACUCCUAUGGCUCCUGCCGGUUGUCAUACUCAUCGACAUGCAAGUCGUGAUUCCUAUUAUAAGAAUAUGAUCAAUCUCAUACAUCACAUAUAUUAUUCAUCACAUCUUCUGGCCAUAUCACAUCACAUAGCACUUGCUGCAAAAACAAGUUAGACGUCCUCUAAUUGUUGUUGCAAGUUUUUUUACGUGGUUUGUAGGUUUCUAGCAAGAACGUUUUCUUACCUACGUAUGACCACAACGUGAUUUGCCAAUUUCUAUUUACCCUUCAUAAGGACCCUUUUCAUCGAAUCCGUUCCGACUAAAGUAGGAGAGACAGACACCCGCUAGCCACCUUAUGCAACUAGUGCAUGUCAGUCGGUGGAACCUCUCUCACGUAAGCGUACGUGUAAGGUCGGUCCGGGCCGCUUCAUCCUACAAUGCCGCCGAAACAAGAAACGACUAGUAGCGGCAAGAAGAAUUGGCAAACUCAACGCCCACAACUGCUUUGUGUUCUACUCGUGCAUAGUAACUACGCAUAAACCUGGCUCAUGAUGCCACUGUUGGGAAUCGUAGCAUAAUUUAAAAUUUUCCUACGUUCACCAAGAUGCAUGUAUGGAGUCUACUAGCAACGAGGGGAAAGGAGUGCAUCUACAUACCCUUGUAGAUCGCGAGCGGAAGCGUUUCAAUGAACGUGGAUGACGGAGUCGUACUCGCCGUGAUCCAAAUCAUCGAUGACCGAGUGCCGAACGGGCGGCACAUCCGCGUUCAACACACGUACGGUGCAGCGACGUCUCCUCCUUCUUGAUCCAGCAAGGGGGAAGGAGAGGUUGAUGGAGAUCCAACAGCACGACGGCGUGGUGGUGGAUGUAGCGGGUCUCCGGCAGGGCUUCGCCGAGCUUCUGCGAGAGAGAGAGGUGUUGCAGGGGAGGAGGGAGGCGCCCAAGGUUGUAGGUUGCUGCCCUCCCUCCCCCCCCUUUAUAUAGGNNNNNNNNNNNNNNNNNNNNNNNNNNNNNNNNNNNNNNNNNNNNNNNNNNNNNNNNNNNNNNNNNNNNNNNNNNNNNNNNNNNNNNNNNNNNNNNNNNNNNNNNNNNNNNNNNNNNNNNNNNNNNNNNNNNNNNNNNNNNNNNNNNNNNNNNNNNNNNNNNNNNNNNNNNNNNNNNNNNNNNNNNNNNNNNNNNNNNNNNNNNNNNNNNNNNNNNNNNNNNNNNNNNNNNNNNNNNNNNNNNNNNNNNNNNNNNNNNNNNNNNNNNNNNNNNNNNNNNNNNNNNNNNNNNNNNNNNNNNNNNNNNNNNNNNNNNNNNNNNNNNNNNNNNNNNNNNNNNNNNNNNNNNNNNNNNNNNNNNNNNNNNNNNNNNNNNNNNNNNNNNNNNNNNNNNNNNNNNNNNNNNNNNNNNNNNNNNNNNNNNNNNNNNNNNNNNNNNNNNNNNNNNNNNNNNNNNNNNNNNNNNNNNNNNNNNNNNNNNNNNNNNNNNNNNNNNNNNNNNNNNNNNNNNNNNNNNNNNNNNNNNNNNNNNNNNNNNNNNNNNNNNNNNNNNNNNNNNNNNNNNNNNNNNNNNNNNNNNNNNNNNNNNNNNNNNNNNNNNNNNNNNNNNNNNNNNNNNNNNNNNNNNNNNNNNNNNNNNNNNNNNNNNNNNNNNNNNNNNNNNNNNNNNNNNNNNNNNNNNNNNNNNNNNNNNNNNNNNNNNNNNNNNNNNNNNNNNNNNNNNNNNNNNNNNNNNNNNNNNNNNNNNNNNNNNNNNNNNNNNNNNNNNNNNNNNNNNNNNNNNNNNNNNNNNNNNNNNNNNNNNNNNNNNNNNNNNNNNNNNNNNNNNNNNNNNNNNNNNNNNNNNNNNNNNNNNNNNNNNNNNNNNNNNNNNNNNNNNNNNNNNNNNNNNNNNNNNNNNNNNNNNNNNNNNNNNNNNNNNNNNNNNNNNNNNNNNNNNNNNNNNNNNNNNNNNNNNNNNNNNNNNNNNNNNNNNNNNNNNNNNNNNNNNNNNNNNNNNNNNNNNNNNNNNNNNNNNNNNNNNNNNNNNNNNNNNNNNNNNNNNNNNNNNNNNNNNNNNNNNNNNNNNNNNNNNNNNNNNNNNNNNNNNNNNNNNNNNNNNNNNNNNNNNNNNNNNNNNNNNNNNNNNNNNNNNNNNNNNNNNNNNNNNNNNNNNNNNNNNNNNNNNNNNNNNNNNNNNNNNNNNNNNNNNNNNNNNNNNNNNNNNNNNNNNNNNNNNNNNNNNNNNNNNNNNNNNNNNNNNNNNNNNNNNNNNNNNNNNNNNNNNNNNNNNNNNNNNNNNNNNNNNNNNNNNNNNNNNNNNNNNNNNNNNNNNNNNNNNNNNNNNNNNNNNNNNNNNNNNNNNNNNNNNNNNNNNNNCGGGGUGGUGUGCGGGCCGGCCAAGUACAGGGAGAUGCCCUGGACGGCCGUCACGAGGUCCCGCAGGGUGCUGGUCAUCUCCUCCGGCGUGAAGACGGAGGUUGUCGGCGGCGCGGAAGUGACGGGGGCCGGCAGCGCGGAGGUGAUCGGGGCCGGCGGCGUUGGGGACCCGGCAGUGGUCAUCGGGGCGGUGGUGAUGAUGGGAAGCGGCGGCGUGGGUGUUACCAAAUUGGUAGAACCAGGGAUCCUACCGGACCUGCUCCGUAGGUUGUAGGGGAAGGAGGGAGGAGGUCGGGGCGAUGAGCGGGCGCGCCGGCGGCUGGGCGCCGUCGCGUAGGAGGAGGAUGGCGGCGGCGGCUAGGGUUAGAGGCGGCUAGGGUUCCGGCUCCUCUGGGAGCCGGGCAAUAGGGAUAAUAAUAUUCUUAUUGCUUAAUUCCAAAAAGAGUCUUACAGCCUAUAUUUAUAACCUAAAUAACUUGCAGAAGAAUUAACCUAAGAUAACUUAUGGGCUAAGAUUGCCCGGUGGGCGCUAAACCGGCCAUAACACAUGUACUCCCUCCGUUCCAAAAUAGAUGACCCAACUUUGUACUAAAGUUAGUUGUCAUUAAUUAUUGUUGUUCAUACUUCUCUUUGUUCGUAUCUUUGAACAGGCAGAGGGGGAUCCUCAUGUUAAUGGUACUGAGGCUGAGCUAAAUGCUAUGUGUAAUCUAAUACUUCAUCCCAACUUCAAUAGUAACUUAGUUGUUUGUAUUUUGUUCACAAGCUAAUGUUUCUAGAACUAGCAUAAUUUUACAUCUUUAUGUACAGAUGAUGCAGCACUUGUACAAUCAACUCAGUACAAUUUCGUGAAAUCAAAAUACUACUUCAGUCUCUUGGGGAGAAAAGCCCAAACUGGGUUUCUCGGUCUCAGGCAUGUGCUUUACUCUUAAAUGCUGAAAUGUUCGUCGCUGAUUCUUUUGAAACUGAGGCAAGGGCGAUAAGAUGGUUGGAUGGUCAAAUAAUAGUGAUAUCAAACACCAAGUUCAGUAUGUUGGAAGGGGAAUUCGGCAAUUACACGACCACAUGUAAGCCCUUAAAAGAGAAGAAGCUCAAGGUAUGUUUGGUAUCUUGUCUAAUUAUCUUGUUUCCAGUUUAUUGUACUACUCUGCUAUGGUGUGUAGUUAGUAAUGUGCAGCAUAGAAUUAUCUGUGGUAAGUUUGUAAAGAUGAAAAUGUUCACACCACCUUUAAUUAUGAUGGCAGACAUGGAUUAAAUUAUUCCAAGUUGAAUUGUUCCCUGUACAAGUACACUCACUACGCAGUAAUCGUGUUGGCUAUACAGCUACAUGACACUGUUUGACCAACUGAAUCAACUUGUUAGAAUUUAAUUGUAGACUUUAACAAGACAGCUUGUACUAUUAAAUUGCAGCAUUGCCUAGAGUCAACAAUGACCAAUGACUGCAUAUGCAUAUCCUGAAAAAAGCUCUUUUGUAGCUUAACUUUCACAUGACAGCUUGUACUAUGCAACAAUAACUGCAUAAGUAUAUUUCUUGAAAAAAGAACUCUGUAAGUAUCAACAACGACUCUUUUUGUAAACAUUGAGAACCUGACAGCUAAUAAAGCUUGGUAUCCCUGAAGUUCUUGAAGCAACUAUGUUGCACAAGAUGUUUCCUUCGGAUGAUAUUUUCAGUAUUAUUCUGCAAUACAACUUGCAUAACUUGAAUGUUGUUGUUUAUUGUAAUAACAUGGAGCCUCCCAUGGAGCUUAAUUUUCGCUUCCUAGCAUGGUGAUUAAAAAACUGUAUAAACCAGACCAUUCUAUAUUUCCCUCCCUCUUAACGAAAUCGGCAGAGCUCCUGCCUUUCAAGUCAAAAAAUGAUGACAGUUCAUGGUUGUAACUUUGCAAAUAUUCUUGUUUUCUGAACUAAGGUUUAUGGUUAACUUCUUUCUAGUUUAUUGUACUACUAUGAUGUAGUGCGUAAUUAAUAAUGUGUGGAACUGUGGACCGAUAUGUGGAAUGUGGUAACUGGUAACCAUAGUUUACUAGGGCAGUAACAAGAGAGCGUACUUUUCAUGUUGACAAGCUUUGCUUCCUACCACGAUGAUAAAGGACAGUAUAAUGACGAUGACCUUUGGCAGUUGCAAUUUUCACAUAAUCUGGCUCGAUCUGUCACUAUUCAUGCCUUCACAUCUCCCUUUAGCACACUGUUUCUGUUUGUAUUGAACCGAGCCUGGUAUAUAUCUUUUUGCAGUGCAAGGAAGAUUCAACAAUUGAUCGGUUUGAAAUGCGAGGCGAUAUCUGGGCAAGGAGAAGGACAUGCCUGCGGGAUAACUCUGCCUUUCACUUGAUCCAGUGGAGGAGGACAGCGGGGCUUCGGCGAGUACAAGUGCAGCAGCCACGGGAAGCCUCAUCGCAGAAUGACAGCAACACGCUCCUUAAGGAACUGCAUGUCACGAUGAAGAGUCUCCUCGAAGAAUUGAAAGUCAACACCAAGGCAGCGACGGAGUCAAGCCAGCUUAUCGCCAAAUCUUGUCAAGAAGUUAUCGAGGCCUGCAAGAUCUCUGCGACCAGCACGGGGACCGGUAUAGUGAACUGAGGAACCGCAUGUAGAUGAGUAGCCGUGACUUUACAUGUAGAUGAGUAGCAGCUGUGUGGUUGCUAGGGAACAAGUUCUAUACAUUGUUGCUUCGGUUGUAGAGCAACACGUUGUAUACGUUGUCACUACAGGGGAUGAUGUAGUCGAUAACUCCGAAUUGUGCGCGGGCUCACUUGAUCUCGUUGCCGCAGCAUUCAAUUGAUUGUAGAUCUGGGAGAGAGCACUGAUAUAUACUGAUUCGUAUUGAAUCUCUUAUCUCCAUGUGUUUACAAACUGCGACUCUGCGAUCAUUGAACUACAAGCCGAGAACAACCGCAAAAGCUCUGAGAUCUUGGCACGGUCCAAACCACUCUGAUCUGCGGCUGAGGGGAACAAUCAUUGCGGAGCUCAUUUUCAGGCUGGACAUUGCCGGUGACGCGAGAACUUUAUCACAGGCAGGGAUCAGUCUCAGAGGCUUGCUGAAGAUGCAAAGUCUGGGAAUUGCUGCCACGGAGAGGUCCACGAGGCGGCAAAAGUCUCGUUUCCUGACGUUGAAGGAUGGCGCGUCCAAUUCCAGGCUGUUCCGUGUCCACGCUUCUUCACGCAGGCGCAAGAACCACAUCCUGGAUUUGCAGCGUGAUGGUGCUCUGGUCACUGAUGAUUCCGAGAAGAUGGACAUGAUUUGGUCUCACUUCAACUCCCUGCUGGGCUGCACCUCCGAUCGCCCACACACUCUGAAUCUUGAAGCGCUCAACGUGCCGGCUAUUGACCUAUCUGCCCUUUUGAUGCACCUUUCACUGAAGAUGAGAUUAAAGGUACAAUUUUUCAGCUGCACCCACGGUCCCGACGGAUUUACUGGCAAGUUUUUCAGAGUGUGUUGGUCAAUGGUUUCAGGUAUUGAAUUCUCAAGCCCUGAGCCCGCUCAACUCGGCCACAAUGAUUAUGCUUGCUAAGGGUAGCCAUAGUGGGGUAACUUAGGUAGUAACUUAACACAUCCCAAGAUAAUUUUGCUUAUGUGGCAAGUAUUUAAUAAGGAAAGAGGUGCUUGUGGUAAUAUAAUAUGUUACUGUAACAUAGCGCUUCCCGAGGUAAAAUGAGUCUAUGAGCUAAUAAAUGAAGCACCAUAUGACACUACUAUUAUGUUACUUUGCACUAUGAAGGUAGUAACUUAGACUAGUGUCACAUGCAUGACACUAGUAUAAGUUACUCCCCACUAUGACCAGCCUAAGAAGGAGGAGCCCUCUAUGCCCGGGGACUACCGACCUAUUUGUCUUGUCCAUUGCUUUUGGGAAGAUCGCCGCUAAGAUGCUCGCUAACAGACUGCAACCUGUGAUGCCAAAGCUGAUUGCCAACUGCGAGAACACAUUCAUUAAAGGAAGAUCUAUCCAUGACAACUUUGUGUUCGUCCAGGGUGCCGCUAAGUUGUUGCAACAGAGGAAGAUCCCUAGCCUACUUGUGAAGCUGGACAUAUCCAAAGCCUUUGAUUCCGUCUCAUGGGCGUUCCAGCUUUUGAGCUUUAGAGGUUUCAGUCUGACCUGGAGUGACUGGGUUUCAAACUUGCUGGCCACAUCUUCAACAAAAAUAAAUGUCAACGGGUCGCCGUCGGUGUGAAGCUUGUGCUUGUUCGCCAGGUCCUAUCCGCUGUCCCUGCUUUCCAGAUGAUGGUGACUAUCGUAAACAAGUGAGCUGAUGCACAGCUGAACAAACUGCGCCGCUCUUUUGGGCCGAGAAUGGUGAGGCAUUGGCUGCCAAGUGUCUGAUGGCAUGCAAAAGGAUCUGCAAGCCUUUGGAUUUUGGUGGGCUAGGUAUCACCGACCUUGAGAGAUAUAGCCGCGCUCUGCGCUGCCGUUGGCUAUGGCUCAGGUGGACCGAGGAGGACAAACCGUGGCUUGAUCUCCCUCUACCUAUUGACGAUCAGGUCAUCGCCCUGUUUCAAGCCUCAACUCUGUCAUCGCCCUGUUUUAAUGGAGAGAAGAUAUCCUUCUGGGAUGAUAACUGGUUGAGCAGUGGCCCUCCCAAGAAGCCGUUUCUUCCCCAUUCCAGCAUAGGAGCUCACUCAAGGAUGCUAUUCAUGAUAACAACUGGCUGGAUGUCAACAAUUAAACCGUUGCCACCAAUCGAGGCUCUGCGUGAUUACAUUAUGUUGUGGAGUGCCAUCCAGAAUAUUCAGCUUUCGCCCCACCCUGACAAGAUCACAUGGAAGUGGACGGUUGAUGGCUCCUACUCCGCUGCGUCCGCAUACAAGAUUCAAUUCAUGGGCGGUGUUCAGUCUAAUCUGAAGGUACUGAUUUGGAAGGCUCCGGUACCAGGAAAGUUAAGGCUCUCCGCGUGGAUGGGUGUCCAGGGCCGCUGCCUCACGGCGGACCUGCUCGCGAAGAGAUGCUGGCAACACAGCCCGUUCUAUGCCCUCUGCAGAUGCCACUCUGAGUCCGCCUUGCACUUAUUCAUGCACUGCUCUUUCUCCCUGGAGCUAUGGAAGAAGGCUUUUCAAACUUUCAGCAUUCCCUUGAACAGGCUGCCUAUAGACGGAACUCACUCUUUCAGGCAAUGGCGGGAGUAUGGAUUCGAUUCAUUUGCCAGGAGAGACCUGAAGAUGAAGUGGUCUUCCGCGACUACUGUGGUGGCCUGGUUCAUUUGGACUGAGCGUAAUGCCAGGAUUUUCAGGGGCAUCGCCACCAGCGUUGCUUCCCUAAUGCAGCGUGGCAGUAAUUUCCUGGGUUCCCAGUGAGAUAUGCAUUAUGUGCGCGUGGGAAUCACGGGUUUGCUGAUAAAUGCUGUUGUAAAUCCGGAGCACAAUCUGUUUAUUGAUUAGACGUGCCAAUGGCAGCAGCCUUAAGCUGCGCCAACACACCAUAAUGACAUCUGAAAGGACCGUUCGGUUCUAAAAGUACAAGGUGGCGAUUCGGGUUUGGUCAAAGUUGUCAAAACACGACCAAACCAACAUCAUCACCCCUACACUGGUAGACUUCACCGUUAAGGUAAUUCUGCUCUAAAAGGGGGUCUUCGAAUCUGACAAAAGAGAAACACCUUUUGGGAAGCUCAAUUGGGGUUCCUCAGGUGACCGAGGUGUGAUACUCCUAGGGCAAAACUCUGAUCGUUUUGGGGGGAGACACGCGAAGAAUUUAUUGAACCAGUUUGUAAGUCCGAAGACCAAAGAUGAAGGACAGUCCUCGGGUCCUGGAUAAGGGAAUGCUGACCACGUCGACCUAUCGACGUGGGUCGGGCCGAGGCCCCUCAAAUGACCAACCAAUGGGUCACAUUCGUCAGGCCCUGAGGAAUCAAGAUGGAAUCUCCCGAAGACUUGGCACAUACUCCAAGGCACGAACGCAAUCUUCAACACAUUUAUCUUUAGAUAGACCUAUGUGUAACCCUAAGUAUCCCAAUGUUUAUAUAAAACCAGUGGUGCAGACCGUAGAUGCCAACUCAUUCAUACUCAAUCUCGACCUAGGUCAAUUUGUAUUCUGCACCCCGUCCACAAUCAAUAUAAACAAAGCAUUGUAAGGUUUUACCUCCCCGAAAGGUCUGAACCUGAGUGGAUUCGACUUCGUUACUGUCCAGGUAGAUGAAACGGCUCGUGCAGCCCCUGAGUUGCCCUCGCGGCAACCCAUGGCGGAACGGACGGCUGGGAGACGCCCUUCGCCCGCAAAGAGCUCAGGAGACUGAUACUGCACCAUCCUUUAUACGGGAGUAAUGAUGCACGAAAGGCCCUUCGCUGUAAAAGAAAAGCAAGUAGGUAUAGGUAUACAUACAGAUAUACUGUGACGGUAUCUUGCCUGCACGUGGGCCCGAGAGCGCGGCGAGACCCGCUUAUGCAUCCGGAUUUGUACUGUACCAGAAAGAUAUCGCGAAAUGAAAAGAAAAAGUGUGGGGAGCUCAGGAUUGGGAGCGGCGUGCUUCCACCCUACUCCGGCGGCGGUAGCCGCCGCGGCCACGCCAGGUUCUUAUUUCUCCACCCGAUUUACUGAUGCGCCGUGUCUAAAUACGUCGCUGGAUGUUCUUUCCAGGCGCCGCUCAGAUCCCCCUUCGAUCCUUUAAUUCCUCCGAUUUGGGAUCGCAGACUGAUCUGAGGAGGCCGAGUCGCAGACUGAUCGGAGGAGGCCUAUUUAGCGCCGGUCGAUGAGCGAGGCGCCGAGAGCAACGCAUCCGAGCAAGCCAGAGGUGCGGGAUGGGGAGAAAGGCGCCUUCUUUUGCUCCGGCCGGACGGAAGCGUAAAGGUCCAUCGUUUCCCCUUCUCUCCCCCUGCAAACGCCGGAUUUCCCCCGCUCCGGCGCAGGUGACCGGCUGGGCAUCCCUCCCGGACGACAUAGUCCACCAAGUCGCCGCGCUGGUGCUGGAAUUCGACGUGGUGGACUACAUUGCCUUCCGCGCGGUCUGCUCGGGAUGGCGCGCCUGCGCGCCCAGCCCGCGAGACCCCACCCUGCGGAUACGAUCUCUCCGCCCGGUCGACUGGGUCGCGCUCUGCGACGGCGACGCCGUCCGCCCGGAUGACGCCUGCCAGAUAACCUUCUUCCAGAAGCGAACGGCCAGGUGCCUCCGCGUCCGCCUGCCCGAGCUCCAGCGCCACAGGAUCAUUGGCUUCACUGAUGGUCUUGUCAUCCUGCUGCACAAGCGAGCCACCACGAUCCGCGUGCUCCACCCCUUCACGCGGGUCGUGGUCGACUUCCCAUCCCUCGUCCCCGUCUACCAGAAGCUGAUCCGGAACCGCAACUGCGUGCUCCGCAUGAACGCUGCGGUUUGUAGCAGUGUGUCAUCCACCACUUCCAUUGCCGUCGUGGCUUGGUUCCCUUGGUCAUCUGUGGUGCUCAGUGCUGAUGCAGGCCACUCAAGCUGGGAGGUCAUUCACAAAGACAUGUAUCUUUCCAAUACCUUGCCCUUCCAAGGUCAGCUUUACGGUUUCCUGCAGACUUCAAGGCAGAUUGUGCAAGUCUACCCUCCAAAACCACUUGGUCCUGGCCCUGUCGUUGCUCAUGUUCCAAUUAAGUUUGGCAACCCAUUUUUCUGCAGCUUCUAUCUCGUGGAGUCCGAUGGCCACAUGCUACUUGUUGUCAAGUCUAUGAACUUGGUGGGCCGUGAUGUGGAGGAGUGGCGACGUUACGUCAUUGCGAUCUUCAAGGUUGAUGUAAGCCUCGGCCACUGGGAACUGAUCCCAGUAAGCAGUCUUGGCGACCGAGCAUUGUUUGUCUCCAUGGACAGGUGCCUGUCCGUGAAGGCGAAGAACCUUCCUUCCAUCAGCAGCAACUCAAUUUACCUCACUGUGCCACUCCCGGAUCCGGUUGUCGUGCAUUCCCUGAGCAGCCAGUCAUUUGAGCGGCCAACGACGUUGUGUCAGGUCCACGACGUGAAGGAGAAGAUUCGCCCGUCCGUCAGGCCCUUCACCAUCGCUGAUCAUCUUCUCACCUACUGCAAUCAUCGUGAAUGGUACAACUUCUUAAUUAACUUCUACUACUACCUUCUCUCUAGCAACAACAUGCAUUCAGCGUGAUAACUCUAAUUAAUGUUCUAAUAAUUUGCAUUUCGUCCUCCUGUAGGGCAACUGGACUAAUGUUUCAUGAGUAUUACACUAUACCCAAGUCUUAUGAAGAGUUGUGGAAGAAAAUAAGAGCUCAGGAUUCUGAAGUGAGGAUUUCGCGCGUGCAAGAUUCAAUCAGGAAAGGGAAAAGGCGUGUCCAACUGAAGAAGGAAUAACUACACCGUAAUUUAGACUGCUCUUUGAAAAUGAGAAUAUUAUUUAACAAUAUUCUUAUUCCUAAUGCUUUCAAUGUAAUCAUGCAUCAACGCUGAUGAUGUAACUAAAAUCUGUUCUCACUUCGCGAUGAAGUGAGCUUAUAUAUGAACUGAAAAAUUACCAGCAGGGUUAUGCCAGUUAGGAUCUGCUCAUGCAAGGUGAUUGACGCCCAUUUGCUUGUCAGGUGUUCAGGUUCAUUCAGUGUACUCGCUGUUGAGUGUGAAUCCGGAUUUGUUUGUUAUAUAGUUCUGUCUUAUCUUAGAGAAAGGUCGGGAUUACUCCCUACUGUGCCUUGAUGAAUCAUGGCAGAAUGUCACUGAAUAACAUCCGGUAGACCAGCACCAAGUAAUGCUCAUUCUUGUCAUUAUUGUUUGAGUUAAAUACAUUACAGGUGUCCUAACUUGUCCGGUGCGGUAAGUUUGAUGCUUAAACUUGAAAAAUACACAAAAAUGGUGCCGUAAUUUGUCUGGGCAUUCAAAUACGGUGCCUCUGGACGUAUGCCGCCAAAUCAAGUGCUAGCGUGGCAUGCCAGUGUGUCGCUGGGCCACAUGUCAAUGGCUGUAGGCACGUUGUGAGUUUUGCGUGUAGUAUUUUUGUUUACAAAAAUGCCCCUGGACUUUAGUUAAUUCUUGAAAAAAAUCGUUGCGGACGCUGGAUGCACACUGUUUUUUUAGGUGAACGUGCUUGUACCUUAAUUAAUUCUCACAAAAAUAUAAGCACAAAUUGGCAUGGUUUGGCAUGGAGGGAAUUCAAAUCACGGACCUCCUGGUUG
RNAcentral lists this long non-coding RNA (46501 nucleotides) under Triticum aestivum (bread wheat). RNAcentral's name for it is "long non-coding RNA (TAES_LNC008925)". The record is from RNAcentral. Lineage: Eukaryota; Viridiplantae; Streptophyta; Magnoliopsida; Poales; Poaceae.